Non-coding RNA from Rattus norvegicus (Norway rat), 65148 nucleotides. The record is from RefSeq and is a predicted model, not a curated record. NCBI's taxonomy places the organism in Eukaryota, Metazoa, Chordata, Mammalia, Rodentia, Muridae.
GGAAAGGAGGGGAGAGAGAGACAAAGAGAAGACAUAGAGAUGGAUAGAAAGAACUAGAGAUGGGGGAGAGAGAGAGGAUGAUCCAAAGCACAUUCUAAGUGGGCUCCAUUUUCUGCCUUGUACGCACUAUCUUCUCGGAUUUGUGGCACAAAGCAUGAUGGGAAGAAGACUAGGAGGAAGAAGGAGGGAGGAAGGAGGAAGGAGGGGGUCUAUUCACAUGCCUGAGAUGGGGCUUUGGUGACACAGGAUAGAGUUUGAGACGCUUCCUUCCUUUAGGUGUCCAAGGUCUGCUCAGCCAGGUCAUUAUCUGUGUGCAAAGGGGGAAAAGACUUGGGAGACCUCAGUUCCGCUGUCAGGGGAAGGGGCAGACUAGGAUUAAAUCACAUUGUUUUUCAGCUGUUUGGGUGAACUGAAUGAGUCAAGGAGCCUCCACCUCUUCCCCGUGUUUUGCGUUUGAACUCUAGACUCCGUGACUUUAGACAGUCGUUUCGUCCUGAGUUCCAGAGCCACACAGCAGCCAGACCAUUUGGUGUGCUACAGAAGGGACUUCUGCAGAGUUUUAUGCUGCACCCUGCCCCGUGAGAUGGCUAAGCCUCAGCAGGGCUGUUCUGCAUUGCGGCCUGGGACCUCUGUGCUCUCUGCUCUUUGAGUAGCAGCGGAUGAGAGGAUGGCUGAGCGCUGGUGUUCUAGAUGCCUCCAGCAGGCACUGUGGCGUCAUUCAGCUUGAGUGGGGCUGGUGGAGGGAAAGUAGAUCAAAGUAGAGCAGAGACCAAAGGUGACAGGGAAGGUCUGCAGCAGGUGCCAGGCAGAGGACACCUUCUUUCUGAUGUAGUGGGCAGCAGGGGCGGUGCAUGUAGGUUUUCCCAAGCCUCAGCAUGUACCAUCCGGCUGGGAUGCUGGCCUUGCUUCCCUUAAACACCAACUCUGCUCGGAUUCUAUGGGGUUAGCCUGCUGCAUCUGACUCCCUCUCACCAAAAAGUGUCCAACUGCUCUGGGGAGAGGAGAACCCCAACUGUUUGUCGCUGUGUUGGGACGAUGGGUAUUUUUUUCUUUCUAAACUGCAUGGGCUGUAAGUUACUUUACAAUAGAAAUAGCAGUGCAGAAGGGGAGAGCUCAAACCCAGGUUUCCCUAAAGUCCAUCAAGGCUUAAACAGGCUCACCGUCACCAAUGCAUGCAUUACAAAAACACUCUGUGGUAAUGAGCUCAUUACCAAAGAAUGUGGAUUCAUUUCCCCGUCGGGAAAGUGAUUGCUGAUUUAGCUUACGUUUUUGUUGAGAUGAUGUCUAUUUAUCAAGUUAUUUUACGUCUAUAUUUUAUUGGUUUGUUCUCAUUAUGUGCAGUACUGGGUUCCAUAGGAACAUUUCCUGCAGCUGUACAAUGUACCCCUCCCCCACACUGCUUGGUUUCUUCCCCCUCCUCUUAGUCCCCAUGUUUCCUGGACAGUCUCACUUCUACUGUCAUCGUGAUAGCCACAUACAUUACACACACAUGAUUUUAUGAAUCUGCAAAUGAGAGAAAAUGGGAUAUCUGCCCUUUACAAGUGAAUUGAGUUUAUCUAAUGCGAUGAUCUCUAACCAGAUCAUCUUAUUUAUUCUCAAAAUUUGGCAAAUAACAAAUACCAUCUAAUUUUUAAAAGGCUUUUGAAGUGGUGUUGAAGGCACAGGGCUGGGAAGGAAUCCCCCUCAGACUGGGGGCUGCACUUGAAUCUGGUGAUUCUUCUGCCUGGAAAUCACGAGGCCGUGCUAGUUUUUAGUGCAUAGGCACGCGCUACCCUCACUGGGGCAGCAGUCUGCUAGCUGGGAAACAAAAUGGGACCCAGUGAGACCAUUGAUUUUCCCCGUCACCGAGGAAGUCACCAUGUCCUUCCUGACAACCUCAAGUUGCAAAAAUGUAAUUACCAUUUUGGCCUGGCUCUUCCCCACUCUGGAUGGAUGACCUGGUGGCAAACUGCAAAGGUUAUUUAGAGUUCAGAGGACCUUACUCGUCCAAUUUAUACGUAUUAAUAGGAACGAUGAGAUGAGUUCUUCAGCAUUAGGUGCAGGUGGGUGGGACUUGGCAGCAUUGGAAUCUCAAGUUCCAGGCUUCCGUGGAGAUGCGGAGGAGGAAGGAAUUGUCUCCUUCACUCCUGCCUGCGGUGAGGUGGUGCCAGCCCUGCUGUGGUUUUGCGCAGUGCCCGGAGUCAUUUGUUUGCUGUUUCUCCUGGCAGGCAUUCUGGUGGGACUGAACACCUCUCCAGAGCUGGGCUCUGGUCCUGUGACUAUUCUGCAGAGCCACCAGAAUCAGCACUCUGCAGAGAGCCUGGCCACCUGAGGAGACAGCUAGGAGGGAACAUUCUGUAGGCGUGAGAAGGCGACUCUUAAAUAAUUACGCCAUAGAAGGUUCUGGACACACAGCAACACCUUUGGAGCUAAGAGCCACAGUAGAUUGGCAAUCUUAGGCAUGCGGCUCUGAGGAACCCUUGUAGGCUUGGUUGGAAGGGUUUCAACCUCUUUUGACCUCCAUGGUGCCCGGGUAAGCUCAGACUCGCUCACUUGUAUUUCCGGGGACCAGUAGCCCAGCUCCACUGGGCCCUAAGCAGAACUUCACAUAGCCCUGGCCAAGAUGGUCAGUCUGGAGUCCAGCUUGUGGGAGGAGGCAAUUUAGCUUCUUCCAUGAGCUCUCGUGGGCGUAAAAGUCUCAUGCUGGAUUCAAGGUCAUGACCUGAGUGGAUGGGGUAUGAUUGAGAGGGGGAUGCAAUCAGAAAGAGAAGAUGGCUGCACAAGGGAGACACAGCCUUACUGAGCUGGCUUCACUGCCUUCCCCAGGGAAUAUGCAGCAUGAUCCGGAGAAAUACUUAGUUGGCACAUCUGGAAUGGGGGUGCUCUUGGCAUCUAACGUAUAGACUGGGAAUAGCGCUAAGUGUUCUGUGAUUUCCAGCCUCCCCGACAAAACACCAUCUGGGCGUGGUGGCUCACAAAUGCAAUCCAAGCUUCUCAGAGGCUGAGGUUAAAUUUGAGAUCAGCCUGGGCUCUAUAGUGAACCACAGGCUAGCCUGAGCUACCAUGUAAGACUUCCAUCUCCUAAAAAAUUAUGCCUAAACCAACAUCAAUUGUGCAAAGGCUAAGAAAGCCAUCUUUAAGAGGAAGGAGUAGGACAUUUUCAGGACACAUAUUUUGACCCUAUUUGAUGGAGUUAAAUCUUUACGUCCCUGCCAGGUUUUGUUGAGCUUUUUUGUUUUGCUCUUUUUUGUUUCUUUUUUCCCAAAAUGGCCUGGAAGAAAUUGAGGUGCCGUUUUGAUUGAGAUCAGGCAAAACCACAUUGCCCCAUGAGCCUUCAAGAAUGGAGCCAUUGUUCACGUAAAGGACACUGAAGCAUUCUCUUUCAAAAAGGAAAAAAAUGGUAAAGCAGCCAAAGGAGAAAAUGGCUAAGGUUGAGGAAGGAUUUGGGUUUGACCCAAGGAGUCACAUGUCCCUGUGCUUAAGGAUGAUAAGAACUUUCCCUAAGUUCCCGGUGAACACGGAAAGCCACAUUUAUGGCAUGCCUUUAGAAGCGGAGUGUAGUGUAUGUCUAAGCCAGGGACACCAUGGGUACAGCCCUGGCACCCAGAACAGGACAGGAUGGAUGGUGUUUCAGUGUAGUCCGUGGUCCCUUGACUUCUCUUGUGCAUUUUGGAGAACAAACGAAACGACUGCUGUUAUUUUUUCUUACUGUGCAGUUUUCUGCUUUCUCUUCCCACCUGUCCCGUUUUCCAUCUGCACCAUUGAGAGCCAUGUGUGUUUGGGAUCCUCCAUCCCAUCCUUUGUCUCUGUGGUCCUCUCUCUUUCCUUCCUAGGACCCAGAACAGAGACUCAUCCCAAACACUGUGCUCUGUGAUCCACAGGGGUUCUGCCCGGGACCAAUUCCUCUUCUGACCCCAGUUGGCUCAGGAAACUGCAACCAGAUUGGUGUCGAAUCUCCCUGUCCUGUUGGGUGGCAUUGCUGUGUCUAAUUUUCUGACCAAUAUUAUUAUCCUUAGAUCUUCCUUGAUCUUCCUCCAAAUCUCUCCUGCUUGCCCAAGUUCUCUGGUUGAGAUUAGUAUUUCCCUUGGAGUUUCUGGACAGAUUUGAUUUUGUGUAUGUGUGGUCUUUGCCCCGUGUUUGUGUGCAGAUGGAGGAUAUAAUUUUUUGUGGUUUCUCUGCAAAGCUUUGAUAAAAAAGAAUAAUGAUCUCUUUUUUCUUCCUUCCCCAAUGUUCCGUAACCUUGUGUUUUCCACUCUUAUUUCUCAAUAUGAGUACUGGGUACAGCGUUUGUGUUCCCGUGGGGGCUACUUAUUGUCAUUUGGAUAGAAAGUCUAUGCCCUGCGUAUAGACUGUUAACACCUCCCAAGGCCGACCUGGUUUGGCUUGGCUGAAGUUAGACUGUGCAUAGCUUUGUGUAAACCUCUCACAGAGUGCACACCUUCCUCUUCACGAAGUUCUAGAAUUGUCUUUUCUGCGAGGCUAUUUUUUAACUAAGUGCACGUCCAGGAACCCGGUUCUUGCUGCUUCAUUCAGUGUGUGUGAGACCUUAGGUAGGUCACGUGACCCUUCUAUGGACCACUCUCCCUGUUUGUAGGAUGAUAUAAAAAAAAUAUGGACAGUGCAAGGGUCUCGUGAGAGACAAACAAGAUGAAGAGUGUUAUUUAGAAUGGCUGUCACCUAAGCUGUCAUUUCAUAACUAUCAACUAGGUAUAGCUAUGUUGGUAAUCGUGAUACCAAGAAACUUCUGGAAUCCUUGAACCUUAAUGUUGAGAACUGGGACUCUCAAUGUUUUCUUCAUCUGAGCAGGCCCGAGUGUAGCCUUAAGCUGGGUGGCUGUGCUUAUAGAUGUGUGCCAUGCCUGUUCACAUAGAGCCACUCUGCCCAUGAACCUGCCCAUCCUCAUCAGCUUGUCCACAAUACAGCCAUUCUCACUGGCGCUCUUUUUCUUAGUUACUCCCAAAUGCUAGGAAGCAUGGCUGGUUUUCUGCUGAUGUCAUAUUCUUGCCUUCCAGUAGCACAAUUGAUUCACUAAAUUCAUCGUUGAGGUUUGACUUUAGAUGUGGUCAGGAAAGCAUAAGAUGAAAAGGCUUGGUGUAUCUGCUCUCUCUUUCUUUAGGGGAUACUGCCUUGUCUAGGCUUGGCUUCCCCUGAAGCAGGGGCACAGACAUUUUGUACCUUGUCUGCAGGUCUCCACUUUUGUCUACACUCUGCUAGGCUGGAGCAAGCACCUGGGGAAACUUCAGCCAUUCUGGAGAAUUUGACUGGGUAGGUGGUCAGUGUUUUCUGUACCUUUCUUCUGGAGCCCUUUUCUUGUCUAGCUAAUUUAUGGAAUGGGGCUGUCUAAGUAGCCUGUCUAAGAGAAUUUACACGUAUUGGGUACAUUCCCAUAAUCUCCUGUAAGCAUUUGUGGGAAUGUGAGCGGCUGUGUCUGUCCACUUAAGAUUCUUCAUAUCCCGAAGAGAUUCAUUGAACAAAAAAAACAUGGGCACACUGGCUCCUUUAAUCUUUUUUUUUUUGGUUCUUUUUUUCGGAGCUGGGGACCGAACCCAGGGCCUUGCGCUUCCUAGGUAAGCGCUCUACCACUGAGCUAAAUCCCCAGCCCCUCCUUUAAUCUUAAUAAGGGGAUUCUAGGACAUCAAGGACCUAGAAAAACAUCAAGGGUGUAGAAGAUCUUGGUGGGGGGGGAUCUUUUCAUAAGACGAGGUCUCACUGUGUAGCCCUGACUGGCCUGGAACUUGCUAUGUAGAUCAAGCUGUCCUCUAGCUCACAGAAACCAGCUUAGCCCUGCCUCCUGAGCGCUGGACUGAAAGGCACGCACCACCAUAUUCUCUCUAUUAGGCUAUUUCAUAAACCCAGUUACAGCACCUGACAGGGAAGCCAGACCUCCAUAAAGAUGUGAGAGGAAGGCCAGAGAGCCACGGGCAAAGGAGAGAAGGCUCAUAAAGAGAAAACAGACUCUCCUGAGCCUCCAUGCAGACAGCACAGCAUCUAGACCUCCAGUUCUAAGCCACACUUGCAGGUAAACCCAGAACUCCCACUGCCCCUCAAAAGCUUCCUUCAGCUGCACUGUCUUCAGGAGAGCCUUCAAGCUGGAGCUGAGACUGGCAUUCUGCUCCUUCUUGAACUGUACUUAGAUGUACUUCUCUGUAAGCACACAGCUACUGGGAAAGCAAGCACUAUUCUAUUUCAACAUCUGUAGCUCACAGGCCACCAGGGAGCAGAGAAGAAGUAUAAGUCAGAGAGUCAGGUGCAGUCUGUUUGUUCCUGCUGGGACCUGCUGACUCCCACCUCUUUGAAGAUUCUUUGCCUCAGGGGUUUUUAGAUUAGUUCUUAGGCCAGCACAAAAGUUCCUUCACUGUUUACCUCUGCUCAAUUUCUCUCCAGAACCUCAAGUCUAUAAACUGGUUUUGUCAGGCCCAGCGGCUAGAGCCAUGAGAGUUUAUGUAUAGGAAUACAGUUUAUAUUCUCCUAAAACUCCAUGAGGGGAAGAGAAGUGCUUGCUGGUGGCAGAACAGAUGUGGGGCCCUAGACAAGGGCUGCCUACCUGGGAUGGCUGAGAGGUUGGGUAGAUGAGGCAUGCUAUAAGGAUACCAAGAAGGCUUCUGGGAACACGCAGAGCCUAAAUGCCAUUAGGACUCAGUGGACAUCCUGGGAAGGGAGUGAGCAGGUAUGAAGGCCGAAGUGCGAGAGAACUUGGGGUCACUGUCAGGUGACCCUGUAUGGAGAGAGAGCAGGAAGGGGAGAGGACCCUGGGCAAGAAGAUGGGUGCGACUAGGUGAUGAGAGAGCAGAGGCAUGUGGCACGACAGCCUGGCACACAGAGCACCAACGGGCUUUGACAAGUAGAUGAGAGGGAUGUGUCUAUGACUCUGUGAAACUCACUCCACUCGAGCAAAUGCAAAUUGCACAAACAUACAGAUGCACCUAGGACCGCCACCCUUCCUUGGCCAAAGUCAAGUAAGCAUCAAGGACUCUCAUGUGCAUAAGGGAUGUACAUGCAAACAGGAAGCUGAUGGUAGAUCGGGACUCUAAAAUCAGCUUCUUCAACCCAUGGCUGGGAACUGCUCCCUCUCUACUCUUUGUCUAGGGUAGAUCCAUGAAGGGGUAUUGUGUAGCGCAGGAAGAGAUUUGUGACUGAAAGCAGAAAGGCUCUGGCAGAGAGUGUUGGGGACAUGCAGAGUAAUGGGGACAGAGAACAGUAGAAAUGUGAGGCCCAGCCAGCAUGGACGCCUUUGCUCAUUUUUGAACCUGGAGCUGAGUGAGCAUGUGGCUGCCUGCUAGAAGGAAAGGUACAGGAGACCUUAACGAUGGCUGUUUGGUUCCUGUCAGAGUGCUCACACACCGGAGAAAUCCCCAGAUUUAUGCAAAGUGUUUGACCGCAGAGGAGAGUGGAGUUUGGGGAGUAAUGUUGUCAAUGGUGAGUCCAGGAAAGCUUGGCUCAUAAUGUGGAGAGGAUCCUUUGACAGUGCUUCUUUGGGAUAUGGAAGUGUCUAUAUUCUCUUCUCUGGGCUGAUAUUGUAAAGUACCCAAAAUAUGCCAAGAAAAGUCUUUAAAUUUCCUGAGCCCUGCCUUUCCUUUCAUCCCUUACUUGGGGAUGAAGAGAUGGUUUCCUGUAGAAACACACACACACACACACACACACACACACACACACACACACACACACACCUAAAACCAAGCCUCGGAACUUAUGUAACUUGGCCAAGGCUAUACAAGAAGCAGACUAAGCAAAGACACGAGUCCACAUAGUCAAAACCAAACCAUAGGACUCUAACACGUGCCCUGGGAUUUCUCUCUAGUUAACUAGCUGGUUGGUUAGGUGACAUGAGCAGGGGUGAGUAUGUUGUCAGAGUUGCUCAAAGAAGAAAGUAUCUAAGAUGUUUCUGCACGCUCAUAUAGGGUAACAACAUAGUAAGAAAAAUCGCGCAAUGUUAUUUCAAGUAACGUCCGUGUGGAUAACUCAAAUGGUUGAGAAGCUACCGAGGAGACUGUCUUGGUAACCAAGCCUGUAUUGGCCAAAGAAGGGAAGGGAGAAAAAGAGGCUGAGGUUGUCUGUGUGCCAGAGAACUCUCCACAGAGAGUGCAUCAGUGCAGGAGAGGGUCACAAAGCAAGGAGUGCGCAGGAGUUAAACUGUGCGCCCUGCAUCCACUCUGCUCUCUCACAGUCUGGCCAAUGUGAGUGUCACGAACAUGUUCCCAGAACUCUCCUGCAGGCUGUGGUGUCUCUAAAGGCUUGAGAGGUCUGGAGGCUCUGUUCUCAGCCUUGCACUGACAGGAAGAACUGGAAAGAAACACCACCAUUAGCUGGCCCAUCUCCUACCCUUGACAGCUGUGGAAAUAGUCUCAGAAAAAGGGGGGUACCAUUCAGCAAGUACAGAACAGGGAUGGAAACAGGUGCCUUCCCCCAAGUCCUGCCCAAUAUCUUCCCCUGAGCUAAUAAUAGUUUGUCUCCCUCCACCCCUCUGAUAGCUCUCUCUGUGUCUCUCAUGCUGGUUCCUGGAUUCGUUUUCUCCGUAUCUGUCUCUUCCACCAUCCAUGUCUGACUUCUAUCUUGCCUAUCUCCUGUUCCUCAUGUAUCUUCCGAUUGAUAGAUCAGUUUCUUUCCUCUUCAACUUCAUUGUUUUUUGUCUCUUCUCCUCCUUUGUACACACACACACACACACACACAUACACACACACACACACACACACACACACAUGGACACUCGGACACUCGGACAUACGGACUCACACACAGAUACACAUACAUACACAGAGAGAGGGGGGGAGACUCUGGCUCGUGUUUUCUUUAGAUUUAGAGAGAGACAGGCUGGCUCCAUGUGCUCCCCCAUCAGGAGUGCUAAAACCCAGCCCAUCUGCUCAUUAUUUGAAAUUUUGCCUUACGGAGAAAGAGGGCAGCUAGCUAGGAUGCCUGUCUUUCCCCACUCCUCUCUUUGAACACAGGGAAGUGAUUUCUUCUUACCGAAUCAGCACAUUAAUAUACGCUUGGCUGGGUCGUGGAUGUCGUAUUAACGCUCUCCUCUUAGAGGGAUCACCGUCGUGGCAAUUGCCGAUGGCCACUUCAUGAAAUUCUGAUGACUGAAGCGAUGUGUGCUAGUCGUGGCUUAAUCACUAGCUCACAGACAUCCGCUCUCCUCCGCUGUGCUGUUUGCCCAGAUUGGGCCACGGAGAUGUUGUCAAUAGGAAAACGGAGGUUGAAGUUGGAGUAGUUCGGUGAGCAAGCUUUGGGGUGGGGUUUGAGUGUGUGGGCUGCCCAAGACAAGAAGCUUAGAUUUCCAGUGAGGGAGGUGGUUUUGGAAAGCUGGAAUGGAUGGGAGUCCACAGUGCUCAGAGAUCUAUAGGUGAGCAUUUCAGAAGGCCUGCUGAAACAGUCUUCUUUCCCAAUGGUGUUGUGAAAGGACCCCACUAUGAAAGCCUCCUAGAAGGGCCCCUCUGGUCCCACAUGGGUACCUCAAGGACUAAGUCCAAUCCCCCCAUCCUUGUUCUCCCUGUACACAGCAGUAUUACUCAGGGUCUUCCACUUUCCCAGCCAGCCCCUGCCAACAGGCUCAGUUAGCUUAGGGUCUCUGCCACCAUCGCAUCUGUGGUCACCUUCACACUGCACUGUGUAAGAAUGGCCCUCUGCAGUCUUGUGUUCUCUCCAUCCCCAGGGAGGACAGCAAUUGGGGGAAUUCCAGCCUAGUUCAGUGACAAUGACCUCCUCAGCUUCUCAGCCAUUUCCCUCACUGUUCUUCUCUCUCUGAGCCAUGGGGAGAAUAAAACCUGGAUCUGAAGACGACAGUUUGAUAACACGCAGGACCAUGUGCAUUUGUGUCAUGUUUAAAAGGGGGGAGCUAAGGGAAGUCUGUCCUCCACGGAAAUGCAUGGGCGCCAUUUUGAAAGGUCUGAGAUGCUAGAGGAGACACCCUUCCUCCUGAUCUUGUCGGCUUUGGGUUAGUGAUUUUGGAGUGAGUGUGAUGAGAAGUGCUCAGUACCACCCAAGCUCGGGACUCACAGACUGUGGUUAGUAUUUGAAGUGCCACCAGAUGCCAGAGUCAAAGCCUUCUUCCCCAAAGAGAGAUCCAAACCCUAAUCUCCUUUCCCCUCUAGCUUUCCAGAUAGCGAACCUACAAAGUAUAUAGCAUGCCACAGGCUGGCAGAAAAAAGUUCCCUAGAGUUCUCGAAGUUGCUGGUUCAAGAUCGAGAUGACGAUACCAUCGAGCGUUAGUCCAGGACCACUUUGUAGUUCAUAAACGACCAUCUUAUCCAUGGGUUCUUACACAGAGAAAGAGAUAAGAGAUUGCUCUGGGGGUUGGGAGCUCACUGAGCUAUUCAUGGGUGCUUUGCCCCCAAGACCUACUACCUCUCAGAAGCCUGUGUCCCCUAGCACCCUCAUUAGAGAUUUUAUUGGAGGGAAUAUACUAUAUAGUAUAUUAGUAUACACUAGCACUCCUUUACCAUACAAAGGCUCCCUGGCUUUACCUGAGGGAGGGGCUAUGGAGUCCUAGAAAAAGUGACAAUCCUUCCCAAGACCUUUGUGCUUUCUGGGUGAAGUUCCUUAAAAGGAAAGAACUACUCUACCAAGGGUAGGUAGAUGUAUGAGGGAAGGUCAUCAUAGGGACACUUGUGUAGGAAGAGUAGGAAAAGCUAGGGUGUCAAAGGGCCUGAGGGGCACAAGAUCCAGGGUCCCAGAGGCCCUGGUCCAUGCCUUCCUUUCCUGAAGAAAUGUCUGACUAGAAAGGGAAAGCAGGCUGCCCAUGGUCACCCGGCUUGUGAGCAGUGAUGAGUUACAAGGGAUCCUGGGCACAGGGCUCGUGAUCCAGCUUUACACCUCCCACAGCACGCCAUCCUUGGGCUGAGGCAGCACCCAGACUGCAGAAGAAGCCUCCUCAAGUGUUGACCUUGGGUGUGGGCAGGCAGAAGCGUGGCAGAAGCUGACCCUGAGGUUCUCAGGUUGAGUCCAUACACAGCCUCUGGGCUCAUGGCUGCCCAGGGCAAGUGCGACUGUGACAUUUCUUCCCAAGAGCAGAGCUGCUUGUUCUGUGAAGGCUCCCUUUACUUUUCUUGGACACAAAUCAAGCCCUGCAUUCCCCAAGCAGCAUCAAUGGACUGAAUGAGAUGUAGUCACUUCCCGUGCAUAAGUGGGGGUUCUGCGGGAGGACCAGUUUCACGUGCACUCAUUGAAGCAUGGAGGAGAGCCUGGGGGUGGGUGGGCAGCAGGAGGCCGAGAUCUAUUCUUAUCCCUGUUGCUAUGUGAUGCUGGGCAGGCCACGGAGGCUUCUGUUCCUCUUGGCUCAGUCAGCUCACAGCAUUUUGCAUCCCAGAUCCUACCCUGGGCACGGCCAGCCUUGUCUCUCUGUAGUGACAUGCCUGGCUGGGGAGUUUUGGGGAGGGAAUCCUGAAAUAUCUUCCUACCAGUCAGCAGGAAGACACAAGAGAUUCUAGAGACCUAAGUGAAAGAAUUGCUUUGCAGGGAGGUGAUGAGCUGCUGGCUUUCUCAUGGUCUCCACCUUCUCUUUUGGACUCUCUUUGUGCUUAGAAGGAGAAGGCUUAGUGUCUGGGCAUCUUCUUCAGUUCCUGCCUUCACAGGGCCGCCUUCCCCACCUGCUCUCUGACCCACCUGUGGCAGAGAACUUGUCACUUGGACCACCAGUAGGGGCAGCAGAGAGUAAGGUUGGGUGCUUAUUUCCUUGGGUUUCCCUGCAGGGUUAGAAUGGGUUGGCUUCAUUCUCCUAAGGCCAUGGCUCCUUCCAGGUGACCCUUGCACACCACUGUCUCUCUGCUGUCUGCUACCUCUCCAUUUUCCUCUUCUCGUAAAACUGAAGGAAAGAGGAACAGAGUUCAUUCUCCCCUAAGGUUUUGUUGGUUUCCCGUUGCUAUGACAAAAUGUCUGAGGCCGGGUAUUUUACAAAAUAAAACAGAUAAAGGAUGAUUUAGCUGACAGUUCUGGAGGUUCCAGGUGGAGGUCAGCAUCUGGGUAGCUUUGGUAAGAACCUCACAGACACCUUAUAUCGUUCAGGGAGGGGCAGCAUGUGAAAGAAGGAGAGACAUCAGGGUGAGACAAGAAGCCAGGGCAGUUCAGGGCCAGGCACCCUUAGCAAUAACCUGACCCAACCAUGUGCACUCGAUUCUGCCUCUUAAAAGUUCCAUUGUCUCCCAACAUGACCACACUAGAGUAGACCAUAGUCCUUUAGGGGACAUGUUCAACCUGGGUCAGGGAGACAGUUACAUUCACUAGGGAUCACUGCACUGUGAGAAAGCUCAGAAGCACCCUGGAAGUGUUAAAGGGUAGUCUCUUGAUCUCUGUGGAGACAGAAGGAAGGGAGAUCUCUCUGAAGCCAGGACCCUUGAUUUGAGCCUGGACAGAUCUUAAGGUCAGUAUCUGAGCUGUAGGUGGUCGAGUAGCAUGGACAAGUGCUCAACACAUCACACUUAAGCACCAGGAGCCCUCUGUUUUUGAAAACACAACAUAGUUAAAGAUGAAGAAAUGCGUUUUUAAAUGUGCCUCGUUUCCAUUUGCUCACAGACCAGGGGCUGCAGGAGUGGCAGGCUCCAGGUGCCCCAACAUGAUCACGAGGCUUCUGCCUUUCCCUCUGCUCAUAUCUGCUCUUGAUUUCCUAGGUCAGUGGGCUUCCCAGGCAGCCUUUCUCCACUCUGGAAAGUGAGGUGUGAUGGGGAAUGUUGUAGUUUCUGGAACAUUAACCUUAUGUAUGCCACUGAAUUUGUGUAUCUAGACAAAUACACUUCCUCUCAGUUUUUACAGAGCAAAUACCUCAGGAUAGCCCAGCAGGGUGGCCAGGCUCCAGGCUGAAAGCAAAGGAAGGAGAAACAUGGUAAGCUACCAGCUGGGCCCAGCCCCCAGAAGACACCAUCACAGAGCCAUCUCACAGACCACACUGUGGUCCGGUGCCUGACAGAAGCAACUGAAGGGAUUCCCAGUUGUUGCAAAGUGCAGUUCAUAAUGGCGAGGAUUGCCUGGUGACAGGAGACACUAUCUCUGGCUUGUGGUUGAUCUUGACUGUUUAGCAUGCAGAGAAUUCAACCAGAGACAGGGGAGGGGGGCGAGUUACAACCCUCGAAGUCCCACACAGGUGACCCAUCGCUGCCAGUUGUGACUCCCUUCCUGAGGUUCUAUGGCUUCCCCACACUGCACCACCAGCUGAGGAGCUGUGCGGGGCACCUGUUUGCACCUUAACAGUUCCUUUCCAGCAGACAGGAGUUUAACUCUUGUUUGUACCUGACAUCUUUGUUUGCUUUUAAAGAUAACUUUUGUGUCGACUCGUAAUUUUGGAGUCUCUAGCAAGGGACUUUCUAACUGGAGAUUAUGGAAAAGCAAAUGAUCCUCCAUUAAGUAGGAAAGCAGAGAACGAGGAUGACACAGACCCCACACCUCCCUCACAAGUAAGACCUCCCACAGGGUCCCACAGCCCCUCCUACACCCAUUCUGUGGGACAGGCUUUUAACUCAUGGGUUUUAUGAGAGACACUUGCUGAAACCAUUGCGAGGGGAAAGGCAAAGCCUUCUUGGAGUUCCCAAACGAUGUGUAUGACUGUCCACUUCAUUGAUCCAGCUACAGUGCAGGGCCUAUGUAAGAAUAGCUUGCCUGGGCUGGGUCAAUGACUCGAGUGGUAAAGUUGUUAGGUUUUAAAUCUCAGCCGGUGCCUGGACAGAAGUCAAGGCACCAAGUCACCAUGGUUCCACAUGGAGAGGUUUAAUGAGAGAAGAGUAGAAGAAGAGAGGAAAGGCGGGCAGCCAUGGGCAUGUGGAGAAGAGCGGGGAGAUGGGGAAGGGGGCAAGAACAGCAAAGGACAAAGAGUAACAGGAGGUAAGAGAAAGAGGAGGGGGCAAGCAGCCCCCUUUUAUAGUGUCAGGUACAGCUGGCUGUUGCCAGGCAACUGUGGGGCGGAGCAUACCUGGCUGUUCCAGGGUAGCUGUGGGGUGGAACUUAGGCAGAAUACCAACAAAAGUGUCCGCUGCUCACACACGAGGACCCAUGUCUUCCUUCAUCACUGCUAAAAGCCAGCCGGGGGUGUUGCACAUCUGUGACCCUAGUGCUGUAGGGACAAAGGCAGAGGAUCCCUAGCUAGCCAACCCAGCCAAUCAGUGAGGUCUGCGUUUAGCGAGAGACCUUGCCUCAAAAACACAAUGGAGACUAGCAAAGGAAGACAUCUGCCUGGGCUUUGGGCCUCCACGCACUUGCAUGCACACAUGGAUAGCACACAUAUACAGUAAUUAAUUGCAAAAUGAAGAACAGCAUCCUGGCAGUGAGGGGCAGCCCCUGAAGGAUGCCAGGGAAAAGCUUUGACAGAGCUGCGUACCAGAGCUUUAUCUGAAAAAGUAAGGCUGUUUCCCAGUUACAAAACUUAGAAUGAAGGGACACACAGCACCUUCUAAAGCAGAAGGAAAUGGCCACCUAGGACCACUGGCUGCCUCAUAAGGCCAGUGGUUCCUAGCUUGAGGCUAUGUACAUUUUUAGAAGGCUUUAGAAUAGUACUUCAUAGGGUUCUGAAACUUUUCUCUUCAGGGCUUCAGGGUCCUGGCUAACGUGCCCGAUUGCCGGCUGGGCUCUUGUUUGGCCAGCUUUGUAGAGCCAGGAACAUUUGCAAGCAGCUCCUGGUCCUGGCACCGUCCCUGACAGGCAGCCUCCUAGCUGCUGCUUGCCGUGAUGCCACCCCUGGCAUGCUCCUGUGAGUCACACACUGGGGCUCUGUGUCACUCAGAGCAGGCUCUGAGCCACACGUGCUCCGUUCUGCCCACAGCAGCGAUCACUAAGGGGACCGGAUAAUCACGCCGCCAUUUCUCAUUUGUCAAGACCCACCUGUCUCCCUCCAUGCAAAAUAGAGACUGACAGUCUGGUGGGGGCGGACAUGGAUUGGGGUGGAGGAAGCAGAGGCAUUUUGCUGAGAGUGACUGGUGGGAAGCAUCAGUCAUAGAUAUUUCUAGAUGAGCCGGAGAGGAGAGAGAGAUACAUGGCUCAGGCCCCGGAUUGCCCGGUCAAAACUCCAGAUCCUGCCUCUUGCUAGCUGGUAUCUUGGGCAGGUUGCCACUUUUCUCCAACCUUUAAUUUCCUCGUCUGUAAGACGUGAUGAGCAGGGCACCCGCAUAGUGCCUGGGAGCUAAGAGCCAUCAACGACGUCAGCCUUUGGAUUACUCUAGUCAUGCUUCUCAUUCCCUCUGCUCUGCCUGUCUGACUUCAUUUCCAUCUGGGACCGGACCCACAGUGCCGGCUCCUGUGUAGACAGCAGGGACGAUUUCGAUGGCCUUGGCUCCCAAGCCUUCUCAGAAACAUCUUCCUUGUAAUUUGAAUUACAACUCCUUCUAGGAGAGGAAAGAUAAUUACAAACCUAGAAGGCAUGUGUAGUUGAUUUAUUGUGCAGGAAUAUUUAGUGUGCAAAUAUUUCCACAGGGGCUCUCUCUCUCCCCCCCCCUCUCCACUCUUUUGUCUUUCUUGUACGUGUGUGGCACCUGCAUGCCUUUUAUGUGAGUGUGCACAUGUGUGUUUGUGAGUGCAUGUGUGGCAGAGCAAGGGUGAUUUGGGGAGACUUUUCCUCUUUUGCUUUUUCCAUCUCAUUCUUUGAAGGUCCCUCUGUCAGACUUAGAGUGUGAUGAUACAGACAGUCCCUAUAGACUUUGGUUGGGAAGUCUCCUGACUCCACCUAUGAGGCUGGGAUUACAUAUGGGUCACCACCCUCACUGGGCAUUUUUCACUUGGGUCUGAGGAUCUGAACUCUGGUCCUCUCCCUUGUUUGAUGAGCUCUUUCACUGCUGAGGCAACUCCUCAGCCUCUGUGGCCUCCCUGACGCUGUGCAGAACUGAACUCUUUACUCUCCUUCUGUCCUACACUGUCCCCAUCUGCAGGCUGAGAAAGCCACGCUCAGGGUGUUUAUGUAACUCCCAGGAGCACACAAGGGGAGGUGGCAAAGCAGACUUUGGAUCCCAUUUAGGUAGCUGACUCAAAAUCUUUGCUCUACACUCAUGCCUUCUCUCUGGGGAGCAGGGACCAUCUCAGGGCGAAGGACACCCGGAGACAUUGUGAGGCUCAUGGGGGAGAGAAUCUUGUAAGAGAAAUGGAGAAGAAGGAAUUAAUUAUAACAGCAGUUUGGGGUUUUGGCAGAUUCCCUAGUAAGAUCUGAUCGGUUUUCGUUGCCUGUUUCGACUUUCAACUUAACCACCAGUGGGUUGCAAGGAGAAAGGAAUCAAAUUGCUCACUGACAGCAAGCGCUUGACCCUGCAGCCUUGGUCAUCUCAGGUGUGACAGACAGGACGCUAAUUUGCAUUUGGAGUGAACCAUCUCAAAGAAUCCUGAUUUUUUUUGGGGGGGGAGGGGUACGACAUAAAUCAUAACAACCCUCAGUGUGAUUAGUUUAUAUAUUCUCCUGAUUGGAUGAGGCUGGACUUUUUCCAGUGUCAGAUCCAAGCAUCCAUUGUGAAAGCGCUUUCCUAACAUCCUUCGACAAACCUUGGGAGGACUUUUCUUAUUUCCCAACUGUACAAAGAAGAGCCGAAAGGGAGAUAGUCAGCUGUCCCUUAGUGUCUGAGUGGGACUGCAUCCAGGAGUCCUCCUCAAAUCCCCCAAUCUCCUGAUGCUCAGGUCUUUCACAUAAAGUGGCGUGGAACCCCAUUUGCACACACCAUGUGCACAGCUAUCCCUGCCCCUGAAGCCAUCCCUAGAUUACUUAUAAAACCCGAUGCGAUGCAACUGGCACGAAAAGCUUCACUACACCAUUACAUAUGGAAUAAUGACAGAGGAGUCGAUCUCUGCAUAUCCAGUACAGAGGAGGCAAUUUCGGCAUUUCAACCUGUGCCUAAAUUAGCAGUAGGGGAGGGCUGUGUUUACGUUCUCUUCUUGUCAUGUGAUCUCUCCGGAGUUUGGUUAUUCAUGUCAUAAGAAUACCCACCUCGAAGUACAGCAAAGGUAGAGCAAAAGGACGGAGAGGAAGAACUGUUCCACCUGGUGCACAGGAACUGCACUGUUACUGAAUCGUCCUCAUUGGGAUGUCAAUUGUGGCCAGGGUAGCAAUGAUAACAAAGUACUAAAGGUCACAGUGGCUUUGAAAGGUCAAUCGUUCUUCACACUGGAUCCCAAUUUUAAAGAUUUAUUUCCUAAACCUCUGAGAGGAACGGGACCUCGAGGAGCCUGACACCAAAUUUAUGUGAGGUUUGACCUUAUGUGGCUUCAGGACAGAAGCCAGUGGGUGGCAGGCUCCCUCUGGUUUCUGUACCAGAGCCUUGCACGCAGUGACUCCGGGAUGCCAGCAGUCUGAGAGUGCUGCACAUGGCCGGGUAUGCCCCUGACAGUCCUUUCCAGAGGGGAGUGCCGUGCCUGUUCCAUUCCUUGUGGGGAGUCCUGGACUUGCAGGCUCUGAAAUCACUUAAUCUCUUGCUCAUUUCUGUCUCCGGACACUGGUGAUAGUCUCCUUAGCGAGGUGCCAUGGAAGGUGCAGCCCAAGAUGUAUGUGCCCCGCUGGUCUCUCAGAAACUGGAGUGGAUGAGACUGGUGAGGGAGAGGGGUUCAUGAAGACCAAGAUGGCAGGCUUCCAAGCUCUGUAUGGGAGCUGUAGAGUGGCGGGAGAGGGCUGCAUUUUGGAUCAGAUCUUCCAGGCCUUUCCAUGCAGGGGACACUUCGAAACUAGCUCUUGACAGUGAAGAGAGGCAUGAAAUCAGUCCAAUAGAAGGACCGAUCGCUGCUUGGCAACUAAGGGACCAUUUUCCUCACGUGAGAGUGGGCUGAUUCUGAGGGUUGUUUUGUAAAGCGAUGUAACUCUCUCUAUCCACACCGAUGAUACACACUCUUAAAGGCAGAGGGGAGAGGAUAGGGGCUUUUCCCAAAAAAUUCUACCCUAGAUAAAACCUGAGUUCUUACAGCCCCUAGCAUGUUGUUUCUAAAGAGCAGCAGGCGGCAUGAUCCAAGAAAUAACGCACUGGACAGCUCACUCCUAAAUGGAACACAAUGUGUAUAUUAGGGUACCCUGCUAACGGCGUUCAUCAGAGUCAGUAGGAUGGUGUGGAAGUAACUGGUCAGGGAUGCUGAGCUGCCUGAUGUAAGUGGUACUCGGGAGAUCACGGGGAACGGUCAGUAGUCAAGAGUCCACAACUAGUACAGGCCUUCGGGUUUGGACCUAGCUCUGCGGAUGGGAAGCCCCCAUGCAGGAAGCCUACUCUGCCACUUGCUUCCUUGAUAAAACCACAGCAGAGUCUUAAGCAGUGAGUUUAGCACCUCCCAGGAAAGGGCAGGAAGCCAGAUUUUGCCAUCCCAGAAGUCUGUCCAGAUGUCUCUCAUGUCUUUAACCACACUAGUCUGACCUGUCAGAGCCUGUUGGCUAUACUUGGAAGAUGCACAUCUGGAAAGGCAGGUGGAAAAUUGUACAGAUGCCUAUAGCCGUGGUCUAAUUAAUCUUGUCAUGACAUUGCCCACCUGUCUUGUCAGGAGCAGGCAAGUGUAUGGACCUGCUUGGGCAUGUGUGCAUACGUGUGUGUGCGUGCAUGCGUGCACACAUGAAUAAAAGUUGUUGCUAACUCAGUAGCUUUUUCAGUGAACAAAGCCUGCAGAUCCAGCUGCUGUCUUAGUUCUAGGGCAUAGGAAGUUCAGGGCAGGAGCAAUACGCUUUCUAUUUGUAAGGGGCAGGCUGAGAACCUCCUUGACCCUGUGACUUGUCAAGCAAGGCCAUGUGGACAUCUCUGGGUAUAAAUUCUCACCUGGUCAUUUGUUACUGGUCUCCUGCUUAGGGUAAGAAGGUAAUGUCCAAUGUGGAUUCAUUUCACAGGAGUUUUUGUGGCAAGCAAGGUGGCCUGAGAAUGACUCUCAGCUUCCCAAAUGGAACAUGUUCUUUUAUUGUGAGAUGCCAAUUAUAUUUUGUUUUACAUAUUUUCCAGUUUAUUAAGCAUUCUACCCUGCCAUUUAAUCCUCACAAGUACCUGUAGAAGUCUCUACAGUCAUAUCUGUGUUACAGAUGAGGAAAGCAGGGCUUGGAGACAUUCAGUGUCUAGGCCAAAAUGAGUAUCAGCAAGCAGGGGCUAACUAGAGGCCACCGUGUGCACUCUGACAUGUUUAGCAUGAGUAUCAGCAAGCACUGGAGAACUGAAGCCCACUGUGUGCACUCUGACAUGUUCAGCAUGAGAAUCGGCAAGCAUUGGAGAACUGAAGCCCACUGUGUGCACUCUGACAUGUUGAGCACUUUGCUUGUUAGUUCAUGUUCCCAUUCAUUUACCCGUUCAAUGCACGUUGGGUACUUUCCACCCCUAACGUUAAUGAGGUGACACAGAAUGAAGAGAAAUAUAAACUACAUUACUCUCCUCCAUUAGAGGGCUAAUAACAGGAAAGGAUCAGUCAUUGGCUCAUUCUGUUCUGUAAAACUUAGUUAGUGGUUUUGCCACUCACAUUUAAGUCCAAAGAAGCGGUAUUGAGACUCCAUCAAUCUUCCGGCCAAUUGUACAGUCCCCAAGGAUAUUCAUUCACACCUAUUCAUCUGCACGCCUUGGGAUGCUCGGUUACCUGCCCUGAGUCAACACACACCUCAGUUCGAUAUUAUUUGCCGGGUACUUGCCUUUCCUUUCUUUGAUUCUUAAAAAUGUAUUUGUGCACGGACUCUAUGUCAGGCUAGUUUUUAGCCUCAGUUAUCUCCACCAAAGCUUGCCCCUCACUGCCUUCAUCCCAGUCUUCUGGAAUGAGAUGAUGUAAUUCCAUAUGGCCAGCAUCCCAACCUUAUAGGAAAGACUGAGUUGCAGUUCUUGGGUCCUCUUUGGAAUCGAUUUGUAUUUUUCAUAACAGAUGGUGCCUGGGGUUUGUGAUACAUUCCCACAAGUUGUCUUUUCUUUACUACAUGACUAGCUUCCGCAGUGAGCCAAUUGUGGUAUCUUUAUCACCAUACCUUCUGCAGAAGCUGGUACAUCCUAUAGUAAGUUGAAGGUGCUUGGUGAUUAUCACUUAGUAGAUAUUCCAGAGAGUCAUAGCUCAUUUUUUCCAAAGAUGCCUUUGAGCAGCACUGUGGAUUUCCUCUGGUCCUCUAAGGAAUGCUAUGCUAACACUGGUCCCAAAGACCUGACCACAAAAGAAUGACCUUUCUGCAGUCUAUAAUCUUUGUUGCUAAGCAUUUGUCUCCCUCCUAUUCAACUUAACCAACCUUGGGUUCUCCAGACCCUCUGGCAGAUAGAACAUUUUUGGCUUGAAGUAAUUUGGAGUCUUUGGUCAAAACAGCAUGAAAAUCAACAGUCCACAUCUGGUUUGUUGUAUGUCAAUAUCUCUGAGAGGCAAUCUGUGUGGGCAUUGGGCAUUUCUCAAGGAAUUCCCAGAAGGUUGACCAACGUCAAUGCCCCCAGAAAGAAUCAGGGAGCAAGUCAAUAAGAACUUCUUUGUUCACAUCAAAAGGGUGGGUUUGGGAUCUAGGAUAGGUACCACAUGGGAGUGGAGGAUGGAAAGAGUCUUAAUUUGGAUUGUAGAGUCAGGGUGCUUUGUUAAGUGGUAAAACUGUAGUUAUCUGGAACUUUUCAAAUGUUUGCGCUAUAUGUGGCUAUGUGGAAUCAGCUCUUCAACCUCCAUGAGUAUACAAAGGCAGAUAAUAGGUGCCAUUUGGGGGCGAUCCUGACAUUUGAUGUCUCAGACUCAUGGGAUGAGGCUACUACUGAAGUUGAGUUUACUAGGCACAAGAACCUGCACACAACUUUGGAUAGGAGACAAUUGCCAUUGAGUAUGCUGGAGCCCUUCCCUUCACAAGUGCAGGAAGGGUCAGAGGUGGGGUGUCUUCCACUCUUGGUCUCUAUUUUACUUUUUGGGACAAGGUUUCUUACUCAACCCUCAGCUUGCUGUUUCUGUUGGUCUGGAUGUCCAGAAAAUCCUCGAUUCACCUGUCUCUGUAGCUCCAGUUCUGUUGUCACACAGGCACAACACCACAUGGACUUUAUGUGGAUACUGAGGAUCAGAACAGUCCCUCAUUCUUACCCAGCAUGGGCUUGACUGCCUGAACCACUUCUCAGUUUUUGCUUAUACUUUCUCCCUCAAACCUAUUCUUAGUAGGCUUUAGCUUCAUCCUCCAACAGGACUUAAUCUCUUCAGCUCACAGCAUGUCCUAGCAUCAUUUCCCCUGGGAUCCAGGAGCUAGCUCGAGCCUCUUAGUUGGGCAAAAUUAGUUAUGCUCCAAAGCCUCCAAGGACACCUCAAGAUCGCUAUCCCCAUUCAUUUGGAAAUUUUGGGAACCAUACCAGACUUACUUUAUUCUCCUGAUUUCUCUGGGAUAGCCAAUACACUAAGGCAGCUAUUCACCAAAGGGAACAGCUAAACAUUUGUUAUAUGGUGCUGGUGAGCUGAGAUGUGUGUGGGUUUAAAGUAGACAUGGAUUUUUAAAUACUGGGCAUUAAAAGGUGAAAUAUCUUUGUUAAUUAUCUCAUAUAGAUUGUGUGCUAAAAUGUCUAUGUGUUAAAUAUACUAGGUGAACUAAAAAUACUAUUACUAAAACUUCCAGACAUAGUGACACAUGGCUGUUAUCCCAGUACUUAGGGGGCUGAGACAGGAGGAUUGCCCUGAGAGUAGUCUGGGGUUACAUAGUGAGUUUGAGGCUAACCUGCACUAUAUAACAUGUUCUCGUCUCAAAACAGAUUAACUCUAGUUGUAUUCAUUUUAAUGGGAUCAUGGAACAUUACAACUGGCUUACAUGGAUCUACUGUGCUCUAUUGGGAGUACUGGUCUACCACACCAUUGUGAACAAGCUCAGAAACAGUUACUGAGCUGUCCUGAGUCAUGCUGGUCCUGCCCUUUCUUUUGAAAUAGAACAUCUUGUUCCUCAUUCCUACCUCUUGGCUUAUCUUUUUCUGGCCCCUUUCUCUCCUCAUGGUUACCCCCAUGACCAUCACUUUUACAAAGUCCCUAUGUAUUAAGUGAGAUUAGUGGAUGGACACAUUUGUAAGGCUGUGGGUUUUUGAAUCAGAUGGAGAGAUUCUUUUAAAAUGUCAGAGCCCCUAGCCACUGAGGAGUGUUUUGCUCUGAAAGCCUUUGCAGUCAGGUAUCCUUUCCCAGCAGGCUUUGGGAAACAGGCACAGCUUGUUGCGGAACAGCUCUCCUCUACACGCUUACAUAAAGGCUCCUGUGAAAUGGAGAGCAGCAUUUUAAUCACAUCGAAGGUCAUGGAUUUAAAACUGAGACCUUGAAAUCUAGAAGCACUUGCUUUCAUAACGGUCUUGUGUUGCCUCUCUGGGAUACGAAGGAAGAGUAGUGCUGUGGGCUGGCAGGCAGACUGAAAUGGCAGUGCCAGGCUGGGGAAGGAGCCUCAGAGCCACAGAGCUGCCCACUUUCCUGCAGCUGCCAGCAGUUCUUCAGCUCAGGGCCCGGCUAUCCCCUGUUCAUGGCAUAGUGUCUUAGAGCUUCAGCCAUGGCAGAGUCACGAAACUUGAAUUCUUUUACUGAUCCCUGGCUUCUUUGAGGUCCUCGAGCAGAUAUUCUGUCCUACUCUGUUGAGGUUCCAUACUUCCUGUGUGUGCCUUCCCAAAGCCUGGAAGGAUGGCAGAGCAGGCACAGGCAGAGGGAAAGGAAGUCUCUAGGUAAACAUGAAGCUUAGCCUUGUGUGGAAUAACUUUUAGACCAGUCAUAAAAUACCUAACUUGGAACAUUCUAAAGCUAUGAGCAGUGACAUCAGCAUCAUGUUAACAUGAAGGCUGUUGCCUAGAGGGUCACAAAGAUGGGGCAGAGGUAAAACCUGAACCUGUGGAUUUCUAGAUGCAAUUUUCACCUUUCCUAUGUACAGUCCUCUGUAGAAAACUAGGGGUCACAGAUCAUGUACCUGCUCAAGUUUUUGCUUGGUUUCUGUUUGUUCAUUCAUUCAUUCACUCACUCACUCAUUCAUUCAUUUUUAUAGUGGUGCUAGAGAUUGAACCAAGAACAUUUAUCUUAUGUGCUAGGUAUGUAAGUAUUCUAUUUUUAAGUUACAUUCUUCGAUUUUUCUCCCCCUCUUUUAUUUUAGGCAGUAGCCCAGGCUGGCUUGGAACUCAUUGUGUAGCUCAGGCUGUCCUUGAACUCACCCUUCUGCUUCAUCUCCUAUGUUCUGAGAUCACAGCUGUACCAGAUUUUCAUUCACUAAUUUUGUAUUCCUGCCUGAUUUUGUGUGGCUCUUGAGCUCCGAUGAUCCAUAGAUGGCAAGUGGCAAGCCCUGACAUUUGCCUAUCAAAUUAUAUUCUUUAUGUUUUAGGAAAUGUAAGCAGAGUGAGGAUCAUUCAGCCCAUGUUACACUCAGCACAACUGCAGGGUGUAUACAAGGUUACCCAAGAAAUGAUAGUUAUCAUAGGAUCUGGAUUUUGAGUUGUGACGGUUAAGAGACACUGUCCCUUCCCUUCUGAAUGGUGGCAUUGAAGAAGCAAUGUCCCUUCUCUGCAGAGAUUUUGAAUUUAAAAAGAGCACCAGACACUCAUUCCAAGAAGGGAGGACCUGGUUUUUCCCAGGCUGUCCUUGAGGCUGGGAGAAGAGAAAGGGCUGUUGUCCUAUGCUGGCUUGAGUCCGUCUCUUAUGAAUACCAUCUGGGCCUUGAAGCAUUUUGGUGUGGUGGCAGCAUCCUGUUUCCCAUGCUCACUCACCCUGGACUCAGACACAGUUCUCUUCUGCAGACCCACUGCUUGAGAUGUGUAUCCUCUGGGAGGCAGCAGGAGCAUCCCCCUGGUGUGGAUGAUUCAUUAUUCCAUCCUCCUGUGUGCAUGAUCACAACUCCAGGACCCCAGGACACAUCAGGAAUGUAAUCUGUUGCUGCUCCUGGUGGCCACUGGGAAGGUGACUUCACCCAGUUCUCAUGAGGUGGUCUUUCCUGACAUCAGGCCCCAAACUAACGUGGAGACAGGGCAAGAAAGCUAGCUUCCUCCUUAUGCCUCUUUCAGAAGCUGGUGGGCUACAUGUGGCUGGCUGUCCAGGGGCCAUUAAGUCUUCAAUAGGUACCAGGGCUGUGACAGACACCAGAGUGGCCUAGAGAUGAGGGAAGCACACAACAUUUGAUUAGUCCUGGGCUAAUCAAAUUUGAUUAGAAUUAUGGAAGACCUUCCAAUUGGUAGAUAGAGAAAUUAGAGAGAUAAGGCAGUAGUUGGACUGUCCCUGAAUGGGAUGCAUCUUCUUGGAAGAUGUGAGAGCAUCUAAAACCAGCAGGUCCUAAAUUCUGGGAGUCUGCAAAAACACAUCCAUGCUUAUACCUUGAGUUGGUUACCCUGUGGUAGAACCCAGGAAUUGUUUUAUAAUCUUUGUGCAUGAUUCUACAGCGAGUCGAGGUUAAGAAUCAGAGAAUCAGCACCCAUAAGUUCCUGGCCUCAAUGCUACUAAGUCACAGUUGUAAAAAUCAAUGCAGCACACAGUUGUUGAGUGACGAGAUCACAGAUCACUGUGAUCAAGUAGCUGACAGAAGCUUGUACAGGAGCAAGGGUGCAUUUUGAUUCACAGUUUUAGUCCACCAUGGGGGGAAGGCAUGCUGGAGUUCAUGGCCACUGUGGAAUCAUGCAGUGGGUGAAAGCUUGCCACACCUUAUUGAAGCAAGAAACAGAAAUAAGAUGUAGAAAGAGGACCAAGAUCGAACGCUCAAGCCCCACCCAUAAGGUCAGUUAAACCUCACGUCCCAAAGACUCCAUAACCUCUGUAAGUAGCACCGUCACCUGGGAAGCAAAUGUUUCAGCAAGCACGUAAGCCUGACCAAGGAAAGGGGGGAGCAUGAGAAAAAUGGUUUGUGUGAAAUUAUUAAAGGAUGCAUGCAUGCCCCUGUGUGUUCGGGAGGGGAAGUCCUCCUGGAAUGUAUGGCUAGGAAGACUGGAAAUGUGUGGUCUCUUCUUGGUAUGACAAUGUGACCUCCCUCAGUCCAAUGAGGAUGAAAGGUCCAUGGUCACUUAGCAGGGUAUGUAAGGGAAGCUAGUGCUCCUUGUGUCAUAAGGACACACACACACACACACACACACACACACACACACACACACACACACUCAUACACACAGAGACAUACACACAAAGGGACAUAGGGAAAGGUGGAUCUUUGCUCCUGUGUCCUCCAAGGGUCAGGUGGCCUCAAAGCCAACAUGGAGCCCUCUGCUUGGGAGCUACAUUUCCCUGCCCUGAUGUCGGUUGUCCUGCCCUAGAAGAGUGCCUUGUGCAUGGCUGGCACGGUGCCUUGCUUGCUGUCAGAAUGACUCAGAUCCCCUCCUGGCGCUUGCCUGCUCAGGCAGCACAAGCUGUUCCUUUGGCUUGUGUAGAUGGAGCCGGCGCUUCUCUCUCCAGGAUGGAGGCCAGGAAGAGGGGUGUUUGUGUGUCGACCCUCUCCCCCCUCUCCCUCUCCAGGCACAGGGGUGGGGCAGGAAGACUAUAUUACAGGCAUGGCUUCAGUGUACUCCCCCUGUAACUGGCUAGCUCGGUCCCAGAGGGCAUGCACAGCAGGACACUAGGCAUUCAGGACAAGUGACCAGGUGAGGUGGCACUUGAAUGGAAGACUUUCCUGAAAAGUUAGCAACACAGGUGGACAGGGAACAUUGACAGUGACUGUCUGAAGGUGACAUGACCUAAGGCCAUUCCACGCGGAGAAGAUUUGGGCAAUGUGUUCAUGAGGUACUAUGCAGCCUUUACAUGGCCUCAGGACCUUGGUUCCUUAGCACUCUCCAGGGGCAGUUUCUCCCAGCACCCUCCUAUCCUCUCUCCUUUUUUCCCUUCCCUGGAACUUUGAGCUUGGAGAUGCCAAGUCAAAUGUAGAAGAUCACAUGGAUGUUCAAGAGCAGAGCUGAAAACCCAAACCAAGUCUUGGGUUUACUUCAUUUUCUUUUGAUUCUAUUAGGAAUGAAACCCAGAGCCUGUCAUGAUAGGCGGAUGCUCUACCACUAAGCUGUAGAAGCCUCGUCUUUGAGUUACGAGUUUUAACAAAUCCUGUGCUUGCAAGAAUGUUCAUGUACUCUCAGCUGUUAGCACUCAUCUUAUGUAACCUGUCCUUGUCACAGGAUGACUUUGGGUGCUUCAUGGACUAUCCACACUUUCAAAGGGUAGCAUACAGGUAACUGGCAGUGGGGGGCCCCAAGGCUGAAAGACUGGCCACUCACUGAACAGUGUUUCCUAUUUAUUCUGUCUUCGGAAUGGUAUAAAUUGUGCUUAGCCUAGAUUUUAGAUUGAACUACACAAAAUCAGCAUUCGUUGAUGGUUAAGAAUGGUCAUCUCGUGGUAACAUUUUAGAGGUUAACCUAAUACAGUGAAGGUUCUAAAUAAUAUGGCAUAUGACUUGAGAGGACCUAGGGGCUCCGGGUUUAUGGUUUCUUAACAGACACGACUCUAGGAGGUGCUGGUGUGUGUGUGUGUGUGUGUGUGUGUGUGUGUGUGUGUGUGUGUGUAUGUGUGUGUGUGUGAAUAAUUGUGUUAAGAGCAUGGCCUCAGGGCUAAAGAGCCCUAGCUAGAAGCUUUGAUUUUUCUCUUUACCUGCCCUGUGACCUUGAAUGAGUCACUAAUCCCUCUGCCACACAAAUUUCUCCUCAGGAGAACAGGAAUAAUACCUCAUGGAGUUGAGGAGAUUAUGUAAGUCAGUGAAGGCAAAGCCUCUGGAAUAUUGCUGGUGUGUGGUAGAAAAAAAUGCUGCCAGCUUCCCCUGCUGGUAUUAUACAGAUUCUUAAUAUUUCCACAUCUCAACUGGAAGCAUAUGAGCGUGUUCCAGACAUAGAGUAGAAACUGUUGCCUUCAGCCCCUGGGUCAGGGAGCAGCUUCUAGAAAAGUAUCAUCUGUGCUCUCCAAGUACAGCAUAGCUGAGGACACUAAGGGGAGGCCCUACCUUCAAACCCUUCACAACCAGCUAGAAGCUUCUACAGCAGUGGUUCUCAAGCUAUGGUUGCAACUCCUUUCACAGGGGCUGCAUAUCAGAUAUCCUGCACAUAGGGUAUUUACAUUACAAUUCAUAACCAUAGCAAACCAUUACAGUCAUGAAAUAGCAAUGAAAAUAAUUUUAUGGUUGGAGGUCAUCACAUGAGGAACUGCGUUAAAUGGUCAUAGCAUUAGGAAGAUUGGGAAGCCCUUCUUUAGAGAAACUAUAUACAGGUAAUAGUUCUCUCUUCUGAGGGAAAGGCCUUAAUAAAUAACUUGGGUGAGAGGCAGCAGGACAAAUCUGGGUCUCUCAGGACCUUAUUUCUCAGCUCACCAGAUUGGAUAAUACUCUCAUCUAGAUUUCCAACGGUCUCCCUUUCUUGGGAGUACCUCCUUACCUCAUCAGAACCCCCGAGACUGUGUAGAGCCAUAAUUCAUAGAAGCCCAUUGCUGAACUACUGGUCUAGGGUCCCCAGGACCUCUACACUAACAUGAUCCAUGGGGUCCAGUGACAGCUGUGAUACUCCUCAUUGAUGCUUUGUUACUGGAAACAGGCUAGGAUGGGUCAGCUGCAGAGACACUUGAGGUAGAACCCAGAAAGAGUCCAGGAACUUGUAGAUGUGUUCUCCUUUGACUCAGGGCAGCACAACUUUCCUGAUGUCAGUGUGUGAGAGACAAAUGGAUUACACUGACUUACAGCACAAACACUUGGUGUCCAGGAAUUUCAUCAGUGCCCCAACCAUGUGAGCACAGGUGACCUUUUGUGUGGCUCAUAUCAGUCUCUAGCACCACCCCCAACCAUGAGCCUACGAUGUGACCCCCAAAUUCCUCUCGACCUAGCAUUGUUGCUAGGGCUCAAAACCCACACCACCAAUCACAACCCAGUUCCCCAAAGCAAAUAUCUACUUGUCAGUGGGAUAUUCCAAGGACUUACUGAUUUCCCCCUAGAAACCACAGGUGAUGCCAGAGAUCUUUUGGGAGAGGCCCGAGUUUCAACUGCACACAUAGGCUCUGGGGACACAGCUGGUCCAGGGAGUUCACACUCUAUGGGAAGAGACAAUCAGGACAUCAGCACCUAGACUGGUGAGGGUGUACAAUUGCCCAUGACCACCAGGGGGCGCUUCAGUGAGAUUACGCAUGGCUGGUCUGGUUGGUGGAGUUUGUGCUGACUCUAACCAUUUCUAGGGAGGAAGCUCACUAGUUCCAAUGGCCACAAGGACUUCUCCAGGCAGCACCCUCACUGACUCUGGGGAUUCAGGGUGAGUAGGGAGGACAACCGAGCAUCCGGGAAACAUUGGGCUGUUCAUAUCUCAAGAGUGACAGAGCCACUGAGAAAGAGUGGCUGUGCAGGAACGACAGUUUGUGGAUACAGUUAUGCAAAUUAACAGAGAUCUGACUGUAAGCCACCUAUUACUUCUGGUCCUCACGUGGAGACUGCUUUCUCUAAUGACUGCAGCACAGUAUCUCUGAGAUCAGAGAACACACGGCUAUUCUUCUUUGCUCUGAGAUUUUUGGCCAUUGCCCUGGCUUCAUCUGCAGUGAGAGGGAGGGGUGUCCUUGGAUGUCUUUUGUGCCCAAGCCAUUUGGCUACAUGACCUCAACCUCACCUAUUGCGAUCUCUCACCAUUUGUGCAGGCUCCCCCGGUUCUUGACUUUCCUCGAAACCUUGACGGAGACCUUGAUGAAUGAUCCUUUACCUUCCCUCCCUGCACACAUUUCAUAUGCUGCGAUCGGCCCUCAUCUCUGAGCCCUUGGGGAUAAGAAAACUAAUUUGGAGCAAUGGUGGCAGCUGCCAGCCUACGGGGCGGGCCUUCUGGGAGGUAUGUUAAGUGUCAGUAAAGACUGUAGGUACCACAUUUCAGUGUGUCCCUCUGCAAUGGCGGCCGUGAUUUUGUGCCCAACCGAUUUUCGUGAUCUCACUCCACAUCACCCUGAGAUUCUUUGUGGCAGGGCAGGGACUGGACAUUACAGUCUAUGUAUGCUUCAGCCCUUAAUUGAUCCUAACAGCAGCAACUCCUGUUUUUCUCUCUGAGUAGUACUGGCGGCAGCCACCUCUUCCUGACUUGUCAGAACAUGACAUGAUAUGUCAGAAAUGCUUUGGGGGCAUUCUGAACAGUUUUAGGUCUUCUAUUCAGUGGUUUCCUGUUUGUUUUUGUUGGUUUGCUUGUUUGACACAGAAUCUCAUGGAACUCAUGGUGGAUAUGUAUAGACAAAAAAAAAAAAAUGACUGGAUUUCUGGUUCUCCUUGCCUCUGUCUUCCAUGAGGAUUACAAAUAUGCACCAUCGUAGCGAGCCUGUGAUUUGGUUUUUCAAAAAUACAUUUUGGUGUCACUGCGUUUGACUCAGAGCAUCAAGAAAAAGGAGACUUGGCUCGUGUAGUUCACAAGAAUUCGCUGAAUAAUUAUCAUCAACCUGGCACACCAGGGCACCGGGAAUUCAAAGCCACCCAGGCAAGGUCAUACCUAGAAGUACAAUUCAGUGGAGGAGACAGGCAUAUAAAAUAAUUAACCAAGUGACCGAUACUCGGUGCGGGGCCAGGAAGGAGAGAUGAGGAAUUGACUGUGUGCCCAGGAUUAGGGGAUGGGGGGUGGUCCCAGGGAAGGAGCUGUUCCAGCAGCCUUUGAUGGAAUGCAAGAGCUGUGCAUCUGGAGGAAAAGAAGAAUUAUUCCAGGCAGGGACAGAUUCACACACAGAAAUAGGGAGGUGUGAGAGCGCGCGCGCGCGCGCUGCAUUCACAGAAGGCACCACAGAGCCAAGGCCACCACCCACUGCUGUGCCAGCUGUGUUCCGCGCAACUUCGGGGGACACCAGUGCCCCAGACUAAGAUGUGAGCAACACAGGUGCUAAUAGAGCAGCCCAGUAGCCUGUCCUAAGGAUGAUGGGCGAGGAAGAGCCCUUAAGAAUUCUGCUUCCGUUUCUUCUGCUGCCUUCGCUGUCCGUGCGCAACUGAGAAACUAUGCGUAUCGGUGGAUCGGCUCUUGAGGUUUGCCCGGAGCUCUGCUGUGCUUGCUGACUCUGUAAACAGGGCACCCCAGGAGCUGGGCUAGCAAUGACCAGCUGUGCUGUCUGGGGGACUCCUCUUCACAGCAGUUGUUCAUGCUUCAGUGGCAGGUGGUGGCUGGAUAGAGUACCCCCCCCCCCCCGUUAUUGCAGGCAUUUCGGGGUGGGGGGAUACAGUUAAGGAUUCUCUGGAAAUGGGGAACUGAGUCACCUGAAGGAGAAGAUGCCCCCUCAAAGCCAAGAGCUUGGUAGGUUUGGAGGCUGGGAAGCUCAGGAGUUGUCUCGAAGGACCAGGAAUGUAUUGCCUAAGCUCUUGUGAUGGGCAGCCUUUGAAAUCUCAGUGGAUUGGAAGUUUAUUCUUAUCAUAGCCCAUGCAGAUUGGGGGACUCUUCUGGCUGCAGUGCAUGGGGUGCCGGGGGCUCUUGUGUUCCGGUUGGGAUAAUGGAGAAAGGACACCCACUCUUAACAGCCAUGGAUGGGAAGUGACACCAAGUCUCAGUGAUGAAAGAGUACCAGAAUAUAUCUAGAAGCUGGGGGUGUGACUGUGAGGGAGAUGCGGUCAAGCUAUAUGUCAGGAGUCUGGGGUGGACUUAAAGCAUCCCACAGACCCAGCCACGGUCAUGACUGUGCAGUUGUCACUGACACUGACAGUGCAGUGACAAUCAGCUGAGUGACUACCUGCUCUCUCCAUGUGUCUUCCUGUUCCCCUCCUCAUGGUUCCUCCCAUGGGGGAAUGCUGAGAUUUGGAGAAGACAUCGGACUGUCCAGGUCAUUCCAAGUGUACAAGAUCAAAAGGCAGACACUGUGUGAGUCCAGCUCUGAGGGAGACCUUCCUCCCUGUAGGUGUCCAGGGAAGGAUCUUCAGGUUGGAGACGUGCCUCUCAUUGGAUGGUGCUCCUGGUACAUACAGCCUCAGAACUGACGUUCUUGGUGGCAGAUGCAGAGCGCACUGGGACUAUAGAGGGCAGGGUAGAGGAGCCCAGCUGCCACCCUAUGCAGUUUCUGUCAGUCACGAUGGCUCCUCACUUGCCAGGAAAUUGUUCGUUGUUAUCAACAGAGAGCCAUUGCUUAGAUUUGUCUCUGAGCGAGGUACGAGGGUGAGUGCCUGUGUCUGUGUGCAUUCAUAUGCAAUUUGGCUUCCACUUUGUCUCCCCGGAGGUAGAGAAGAGAAACUAGAAUAUCUUUCUUUCUGCCUCUGGGCAUGUAGUUUUUAUGGCCUGGCAGACUGAUUUGAACAGAGACGCCAAUGCAGUUUCCUCCCCAGAAUCUCUCUCCUGAGAUCCUGAAGACCACCUGAUUCUUUCAGACCUUGAAGCCUCCCUUUCUACAGGAGACUGGGCUCUUUCCUGUUUCCUCUAUCACAUACCCCCAAAGUUCUGACUCAUCUCCAAUACAUAGCCUGCCCUGAACAUACCCUGUAGACAUCUCGGGAGAGACACAGAGACAUGGGAGCCUCUACUCAGACCCAUCCCAAACAUGGACAUUCAGCUGGUACGGUCCCAGCCCACCAGCUCCUAAUUUGCAGAUACAAAACCAAGUAUCUCUAAUUUUCACAUUUUAGCCUCAGGCUCCCAUCUCCUAACCCGUAAGCCAUUUUAACUAGUAGCCUGGACUCUAGCAUGGAGACGUCAGAAUGUCAGAUACUUUUUCUUCAAUAAUAAGAACAUGGAGGUUUCCAGAACUCCUCGGUGAGAGCUAGGUGCUCUAGCUGUGGGAGCUUGGAAUCAGAGCCUUUAUCUACCUCCCUUCCCCUUCCUCCCCACAACAGGAGGUGAGUUACUGUGUAACGGCACCUGAUUACACACCAGUACAUUGGUUCUUUUCCAGUAGCUGUGAUAAAACACCCUGACAAAAACGAGAGAGAGAGAGAGAGAGAGAGAGAGAGAGAGAGAGAGAGAGAAUAAUUUUGGCUAUCUGUUUGAGGCUCAGUCCAUUAUGGUAGGGAAGAUAAGGCAGCGGGAGCUUGGGAUGCUCACAUUGAGCCCACAGCCAAGGAGCAGAGAAUGUCGUGGGUGCAUGCGAGUGCCCAGCUCCCUGUCUCCGUUUUAUACAGCCUGAGAAGUGGUCCAGCUCACCGUAAUGCAGGCUUUCCCACAUGAGCUGACGUAAUCUGAAUAAUCCAAUAGCCCAUCAUCUCCCAGCUGAUUUUUGGUUUUGUCAAGCUGACAAUGAACACACUGCAAAGGUCAAAGGUGACGUGAAGAUGGCUCUCUCCAUCCAGGAGCACAGCUAGUGGCCACUGGGGUUUCUUGUCUUCAUGGUCAUGUCGUUAGUGACAAUAUGGCAGCAUAGCAGGAGUGAUUGCAUGAGCUCACAGCUGUGCCAGGCAGUAUGUAAGGUACUUGGCAUGUAUCAGUGGCCCCAUUUGCCUUUGCUUCUAAGCGAUAAGCACGGUUUUUACCCAAGGUUUAUAGGUUAGAUCACCUUGCUUAAGGCAUGGGGUGAGUGUGGAAUACAGUUUGGAGUUGUGGCACCAACUCCAUCACAAACAGCUGCAGCGGAAGCUAAGCUACGCAGAAGGUUGUGUCAGGACACCAAUGCAGAGCUCAGGAAAAGAACAUUUAAUUAAUGCACACAGGGGAGCCUGGGCGCCUGACCUAGAUAAGCCUCAAGUUCAGCUGGUCCUUAAGGCCUGGCCUCCCCGGAAUCCCAGGGCUUGAAAGGCUGAGGGAGGAGAAUUGUAACUUGUAGGCCAGCCACAGCUAGGUAGGGAGACCCUAUUCCCAAAACCUACAACAGACAAACAAGUAAAACACUAUAGGGUCCUCGCAGGCCGCAGGCCGCAGGCCAAUUAAGAGGCAGCAUGACUUCAGAAAGUGAGGCAGGGUCAGAAGGAAACACCGUAGUGGUGGGAGGAGUCAGAAGAAACACCUGAGUGGUGGGAGGAGUCAGAAGAAACACCUGAGUGGUGGGAGGAGUCAAAAGAAAACAUCUGAGUGUGGGAGGAGCUACUUAAUGUUUUUCUGCACUUCUUUUUCCAGGGGACUUAGGUUUGAGAGCUCCAGGUUCACUUUGUUGUUUUAUUUAAAGAGCGUGGUUCUUCCCUCUCAAUUUGCCCCAGAAGAUUCUUAAACCAUCGUCAGGAUUUCAAAAACCCACAGAGAGUUCCCAGGCAUGGAUGCAGUGGACCAACAAUGCAGCACCAGGAACGGAGUGCUGCUCUAGCGGUCCUACCUGCAGGCCGCCUGCCAUUCCUCUCUGAUUGACACCACAAAGCAGGGCUGUGCGUGGAGAUCUCAGAAGCCCCAGCUGGAGCUUCUGCUUCUAGAUUCCCGGAUCUCUUCUCUGCAAGCAGAGGCAAUAGCAUGGGGGAAGAGAAGGCCAGGGAUCCUGGUACUUCCUAGCUGACUAUAUUAGCUGAAUGGAGUUUUCUGCCCAUUGUGCAUUGGGCUCUGUGUCUGGUGGUGUGAUCAGUCUCCACUGUUGUGGCCUCCGGUUUUCCCCCUGAAAAUAACUAGAACUGAGCCAUAAAGCAGCCCGUGACUCACUGUCGUUAAGCAGAUGAAGUGCUACUGAAUAGACGAGUGGCGAGGCUUGAGCAAACAGAAUUCAGCCACAGUGGUGGUGGGCGAGAUGGAGAGCAGGAAAAGGGAGAGCCACCCAGUUGCUGGCAUCCCCAGGGUCUGUGGGGACAAGCCAGUGGCAGCAAGACGUCUUGUCUAGGGGUGUCUAUGACUAAGAUAGACUUGUGGGACUGUAGGAGAGGAGACAUGGCUGUUGUGACAGAGUUGUGGCUCACAUCCGGACAGACCACAUUAGGCCAAAGCAGUUCCAUGAGAGAGAGGCUUAUUGUGGGGGAAGGGGACAAAAGGGGACGACGGAGACAAAGGGGGAAAUGAGAGAGGAGGGAGGAGGAGUAAAGGUCAGGAAGAGUCUGCCUUCUAUUUAGGCUGUGAUGUAACCACGUGCAGGUAAAGGUGAGAGGUAAGCCAAAUGGAUGCUGGAAUGUAUGGAGAUUGCCAUGGCAACAGAUGCACGAGUCCCUGUCGCCUAUGGGUGACGUCACCAUCAUCACUGGGUUCAGAGGCGAUUUGUAGCCAACCCUAAAGCCAGUUCCUCAUACCAACUUUGGGGGUAGACCCCAAAGGGCACAUUUGCUGUAGUCAGCUCCAAGGAUGUCCCUACUUUCAAGGAAACCCCUUGCAUGUAUGUGGGUUUUACUGUGCAGCCCACUGCCCAGGGACCUUCUUAGAAGGUGGGCUUGGGUCCAGUGAUCUGGAUGGGGCUUGAGCAUGUGUGUUUGUAACAAGCUUUCAGGAAGAGGUGUCUCCACCAAUGGCUAAAGACACAUUGGGAGCAUAUGGCCAAGAAGAUGAUGGUAGGGUCCUCCCAGAAAUAAAGACUUGACUCAAGUGUGACCCGCCAUGUUUGAAUGUCUUGAUAAAACACCCCAAAGUGUCUCUGAUGUGGGAAGGGGAAGAACCUAGGAUUCAUGGCUUCUGCUGAGAGGGACAGCCAAGGGUUACUGAAGGGCAAGAUGAGCAGAAAGACACAGGGAGUGCCCCGGACCUGAUGAUCCACAGAGCCCAUUCAGCACCAGCCAGUUACUGCUUGGAUCCUACAAUCAUGUGGCAUCCUUCCCCAGGGGACACCCGGUGGCCUCAUUGAGGUGGAAGAGUGACCAGAGAUCUGCUUUCCCCCCAGUCCCCCAUCCUCCACCUGGGCAUAGCUGUCAGCCAACACAGCCUGGGGAGAUAGGCAUUCUGAAUUCCUGAGACAUGAGUGUGCAAUCGUGUCUUGAGUUACUCUUCAGUGAUGUCUGGAAGAUGGGUCCUUGGAGGUCAUAAGGUCAGUCCUCAGAGCGAGAUGGAGCAAACAGUGAUGGAGCCAUGAAUACCAGGAUGGAGAGACAGUGUCAAGAGCUAGCGCAGUGGACCCUGGGGCCAGGGUGGACCACACAGGCCCUCCUGCUCAUGCCAUACUCUUAUUUGCAGAGCUAGUCUUCUUUUCAGCUUGAAGAAAGGGAGGGCCAGCAUCCAGGUUCAUGGUAUUUGUCACAGAUGCCAAAUCACAAAGGCCUGUGCCAUAAAUCUCCCAUUUAGAAGGUUCAGGCUGUUGAUGUCCAACCCAUUUCUCCAGCCUCAGGUCAGGGAACCAGGAAAUUAUCCCUGAGAAAUGGUGCUCAGGCUUCUGGGCUGAUUGCUGAUCAGUGGCGUGGCCCCUUGAAGCCCUCCUUGGAAUCCAGAGGCUCUUCCAGACAAGAGUAUAUAACCUACCAUAGUUGCCUAGAUACCCAACGCCACCCACUUUGUCCUUACUUCCUAGAGAGAGUCAUACUGCACAGUAACCCCUGAGCUCUAGGUCAGAAGUUCCUGACACUUUUGUCCUCCUACAGAGUCUGCAGGUGUUUUGGCUGUCACCCCUUAGUCAUGUGAAUCUAAUGGAUAGCGACCAGGAAUGCUGACAAAUUCCUACUAAGGCACAGAACAGAGUGACUCAGCCCUAACUGGGGAGAGGCCUUGCUCUAGAUAAGUAUUUCUGGGGUUCAGGGCUAGCCUGGGGGAACUGGUGCCCAGGCAGCAAGCAGGGCUGCCUCUUUGCAGACAGCCUGCCUCAGAGUAAGACACUGGGGCUUAAUGUGUCCCCUUUCAGUGACAGUGAGUGAGUGUCUUCUCUGCCAUCUGGCCUUGUUAUCUGCUUUUCAGGCUGUGAUCAGGUCUUUUGCCUGAUGUCCAGGUGGCUUUCAUAAUGGCUGUGACCUACAGAGGAUGCAGGGAAAAGGCAGAGUUUCCUCACCUUACAGUCCAUGGUGCAUAUCCAUGGACUUCAGCCUUACCUGAGAGUCAGCACAGAUCUUGUUCUGCACCAGUCAGUGCAGCUCUGGAUAGUGGCUGAGACCUCAGGAAGUGAGGUCACCUUUCUGUUCUCAGCUUCCCUGCUUGCAAGAGGCAUGGAAGCAGGUUUACUACCCAUGCAAACAUUAGAAUGGCGUAGACAUUCAGAAUACUAGUUCUGGCGUAAGCAUCCCUAAACUCUGAUCAUGCGCUUCGUUCUCCUACCUCGAGUGGGCUGAGUGGGAAGAGCAGUCGCGUCCCCAUGCAGUGUCUAGGAGCUGAACAAUGGAGUACUGCAGAGUUGGCAGAGAGCGGGUCAGGAUCUCAGAGAAACAGCUCUCUGAAGCCUGACUGACUGCAGGUGAAUCCUGUCUUGGGUUUUGGUAAACAUGGAUCUGAGGCAGUGGUGCUCAAAAGGGAAUAGCAGUCCAAGCUAGUGAAGACAGGGCAUGUGUCUCCUGGAUGGAUGCCCUUGCCUUGUAUCUGGGUAUGCAAGCCUAUAUAUUCAAACACACUUGACUCCCAGACUAUCCUUCAGUGCUUUGAGGACUCUCAUUUUAGGCUUUUUAAAUUGUUCUUAGCAUCCACUAGAUGUGAAUAUUCUAGCAACGGACAAACACUGUUUUAUUUUUCUGUGUCUCUUGUCUUUUUCCCAUGGAAGAGCCGAAGGCAUCCAGAUCUAAUGACAGAUUUGACAUAGUUACAGGUGUAGGGUGUCAACGUAGGUGUGACCAAUCGGUCAGCUCACUGAGACAGAAAACUACAUUUGUAUAUCAAGACUUCUAUUCUUGGUCAUUCAAGGUCACAGGCGAAAAGUUCGUGCGAUGGAAUGUCAUCCCGGCUCUCUCUUCUUGCAUUUUUCUGGUGGGAAACUGAGACAAUUGAGGCCAUCAGAGUGAGUGGACUGGUUUAUGCACUGGAUUCAAUCUUAGUCCUGAUAGAGGGAUGAGAAGGAAUACUUCCAGCCCCUCGUCUGGUCCCUAAAGGGAUACACCACUGUUUCUUUAUUCCCAUGCCUAAAAUACUCACUUACCCAAUGUUACAGAUAAUUCAUGGGACUCCUUCCUCCUGAGGACCUAGGUGCUGGUUUCUGUGCUGUAAGCAGAUAGAUCACACAUGUAGACAUGUUCACCUCCACUCCUGCCAGGUGCUAUAAACCAGUCUUUCUCUAUCAUUAAAAUGACUAUUAUUUAGUGACUUUUCCCCAUCCAUCCAAUGUCCUCACCCUCCCCUCCAUCCAAUCCUUUCUGAGUUUUGGAAAGAAGAGUGCCAGGACAUUGUGGUUGGCACAUUCAUUGUUUAAGCAAGCUCUGAUGGCUAAAGGUUAGAAACUUUCACUCUCUCCCUCCUGUAUGUGCUGACUCCUCCCAUGCCAGGGUGAGGCCCGUGGACAGAAUUGGGGUGAAGAGUCCCGGCCAUGGAGAAGGAACAGGUCUCUGUACAAGGAGAUGUAGACUGUGGGGAAGGUCAGAAGUGAGAGUCCAAGCAGUUUAGUGUAUGUAUGGAUAGAGCCAAGGUGCGACUCAAGGCAAUGUGAGCUCCUUACCCCAAGUCCAUCAGCCCACCCCAGUUCUGUCUUUCUAUAGUCACACAGUGGGAGUUAGUUGUACAUGGUGUUAUGGGAGUUCUUAGCACCAGUUGCUCUGUCCUAUGUCUACCCUGGUUACUCUUUACAGACUGUCCCUUUCCUGGGCUUUAGUUGGAGCAGUCGUGUGGCUGCACCAUGACAACAUCUUCCAAUCAACACACUCACCUGCUCUCAAGCACACAGUCAUUCUGUGUGCCCAGGUCUAUUCAACAUAUGUGCAAUUCAAACGCAUUUACUUAGGUAACUCCCCUGUGCAUGGAGACUCACUCACAUCCACUCCUGAACACACACAGGCACUCAUAUAAGCACAUAUACUUGCUUGUAUGUGUAUAAACACACACGCACACAGAUACACACACACAGACCCGCCCUGCCCCCCCCCCACGUACCCACCUUUGACUGACCAAAACUGCAGAAAGCAGCUUUGAACAAGCAUCGGCAUCUUUUAUAUUUUCCAGCUUCCUGUGGUGACCCUGUAGCUGAUUGUAUUUGAAGGCUGCAGGGGUUGUGCCAUUCUGCAUAAUCUGUUUCUCUGGUUGUCUGUAAGCUCACAAGAACCCCCACUUGGUUUUGUUCAGGAGGUCGUUUUGUUAUAGCAAGCUGCUGAAACGUUGCAGCACAAUAGCCAUCUUUUGAAUGGUACAGGUUCAUGAAUACUGAAGGUGGAGUUUCCUUAAGAUUUGAAAGACUUGGGCUUUGAGAUGAGACACACUUGGUACUACUAUUCAGCUCUGAAUUCUGCCAUUUAUAGGUCUUGCAAGUUUACAGCCCUGGCUUAACCUUGAAGACCUUGUCAUUUCUCUGUCUGUAGACAGGCAGACAGCCAUAUUUGUUUGUGAGAUGCCUUUGAGAGCUGGGAUUCCUGUGGGCUGAGCUCUCAGGCUUCAGGGGUGACGUUCUAUAGGAAACUCUGCCAGAAUGUGUUUGUGAUCUAGGUGUGAUAGGGUAGGUUACUUAUGACAGAAUUGCCUAUUGUUGAGUGGAGAGAAACUUCCAGAAGGAAAGGAAAGGCUGUUUCUGGGCAUCUUGGGCUUCUUGUGGCAUUCCAGGCAAAGAAGAUUUGGGUGAGUUGUCAGUCGAAAACACAUGCAGGCUAAUGCUGGGCCUCCAAGAUCUCCUGAGUCAGUGGAAAGAGAGGAAUUAGCAAGCUGCUUCAACCAGGGGGCAGGAAGCUUAGAGGCCAGAGCCAGAGGAAGCUAUCAAGAGCUAUGCUGUGGGAGGUUCUGUGGCUCCUGGGGCUAUGGCUGUGCUCAUUUCCCAAGAACAGGAUCCUGCCCAGGCAGCUUAGGCAAGGCCAAACCACAGCACAUAACCCAAACCUCAGCGGCUGCCUGAAUAGAAUGGAGGCCACUUAAUCCCCUUCCUUCUCCUCUCAUUUAGAAGACCACGAAUGCAGUUCUAAGGCAUACUCAGGACCAGACACAGGGAACAGAGAACCAAGAAACCCCUGGCACUCAGUCUCCUGGGUCCAGCCGUUCAGCCUUUGUAAUAAUUAAUUAGUCACAAAUUAGUAAACGAUAACCAGGAAGCAAUAGGAAAGCCAGGCUGUGACUUCUAGUGAUUCUAGACAUGUUUAAUAGCAACCCAUCCAGAACAGAACUACCUGCCUACAUCAUGUUAAGAGUUCAACAGGACAUGGCGAAGCCACAGAGGAGGAGGUGUCCUGUGUUACUCUAGGGAUUCAGAGUCUUUUGGGAUGACAAGGCACAUCUCAAGAAAGUCACUGCCAUACUCCCAGUGACUGCAGUGUCAGGUGCUUGGCCAUCUAGCCAAGUUCCAGCAGGCUACGAGACUGGGGAGCCAGCUAGUUAGGAAUCUCUUCUUCCUUCUUCCUGAAGAGAAAUCCUGGAUAGGCAGACAAUAUCUUCCAUAUAUCCAGGAAGGAUAUUUUAAGAAAGUCAGGGCAUGCAAAUGGAUGGUGAAGACUUAUUUCUUUUUGUCCCAAAUCUUGGAAUCCGGGGACUGUGUUGUCAUAGAGAAGAGACACAAUGCUUUUGUCCCAAGACAUUAAAUAGUCACUUGAAGUGGACAAGCUCACUCUUUUUUUUUCUUUUUUUUCAGAGCUAGGGACCGAACCCAGGGCCUUGCGCUUGCUAGGCAAGCGCUCUACCACUGAGCUAAAUCCCCAACCCGACAAGCUCACUCUUACAUCCAUGUGCAUCUGGUUAGAAAAUGGGCCACUAACAACCUCUUCUUCCCUUGGGACUUUUCUUGGGCUAAGUCUCUAAGCCAACGGUAUCUCUGGUAUGGCCCUCUCUAAUAACCUACAAGUUCUGUUCAGCCUUGACAAUGGUCCCUGCUUUCCUCCUGUUUUAACCGUCAACAUUUUGUCAUCUCAGUGUCCUCUUGAGAGGAGCCACUUAUGUCUAAAGACACAGUUUUCCGCUGUAUUCCAACCUGUUUCUGAACCUGAUAUCCUCCAUGUUAUAGAAUUGAGUGUCCACUUUAGCCAGCGUUAGCCCUUGAACUUCAGAGCAUACUCCAAGGUUCCGCUGUCACUUACCGUUUCUUUACCUUCUCUUCCUCCCAUGCCCUAGUUGAGAGCAAAUCUCUCUUUCUUAUCUCUCUGGGGGCCUGAAACACGAUUGUUAGGAGGAGUAAGUUCCAACUAUGGGGAUAAAAACAUCCACUCAAGGCAGGUCUUGGCGGAGUACCUGGUAAUGGCAUCACUUCAGGAGGAUGAUUUGACAUCUCUGAGCUUGACUCUUCUGUUAUAAUCUUACAAAUGUGGCCAUCAGAGGGAGACACGGUCAAUGCUUCUCACAGUGACUGGCACAUAGCCGUGGCCGUGAUUCUAACAUGUCAUCCUCAUUUCUUUGCACAAACACAACUUGUACUAUUAAAGUUCAUCUUGCUCCCUAUCUGCCGUUCUUCUACACAUGUGACUUAUGAGCCAGCACCUGGCUAACCACCUUCAAUAAGUCCAGUCUCACUGAAUAUGUUCUCAGCGGUGUUGGCGAUACACAGGCUGUUUCUGAUUUCUAGCUACAGUGACAGAGGCCGAGAUGAGGAAGGUGAACCGGGGCUCCCGGAGGAUGCCUCGGACACCGUUGUCCAUCACCUCUGGCACUGAUUUCUGAUUAUUUGCUUAUCUCAUGGCACCUGGUCCUUGGCAGCAGCAGGAUGCACCUGGGCUGAGAAAGGACAGAAAUAAACUCGAUAUCUCGGAGGUUGUCCUGCUGGUGAAGGGCAGAGAGAAGCAGGUAGGCUUGAGAGAACAGAGCAUGCUUGGUUGGAUUGGACUGUACUCUUCAUUUCUAUGAAACUACGUGACCUCAGUCCAGGGUGGGGAAGGCCCUGUAAGAUAGGAAGUGGAUUGAGGAAGAGCGGCUUAUGUCGAGGCUCUUCUAGAAGGUGUCUUUUCAUGAUAAACCUUCAUGUUAAGAAAUACUCUUUCUCUAGAUGCAAGACUGUGACUAAGCUAUGAUGGACAUAGAGUAAUAGUCAAUGAUACACUCAUGGUCCUCAAGGUGCCAAAAGUCCAGGCAGAUGAGGGAAGCUAACAAGAGCCUGGUCCUGCUACAGGGAACCAUCUGGCAGUGCCUGGAUGCUGACUGAUAAGAGCAUGACAUUGAGAGACAGAACGUUGAGGCAGGGUUGGGUUUUUCCAAGUACCACGCCUUACAUAAUGUAGCCACAUGACCUGAAGGGAGGAGUCAGAAGAGCCAAGACCAUACUGAAAACCAAAAGAGCUUUAAGAGUUUGGGCCAUAAGUAUAUAAGGGAUAGGGGAAGUAGGGAUGGCACGGAAGAGAAAUCUCACCGUAACUAACAAGGCCAGUCCCUGGCAGGUGUGGAAGCAACCUGGAGGAUGCUGGGGGUAUCUUGGAGAAGUAAAAACAAGUAAAUAAACAAACCAAACUAGGGCCACAGACCUGGGUUCAAGUCCUGAUAAGUGGGAACUGGCCACUCAUCUUGAACAAGUCAUUGAACUCUCAGCCUCAGUUUCCCAUCCUUGGAAUGGCGGCCAUAGUAUCUACUAUGAAGUACUGUGGGCUGAGUCAAGAAUGGAGUCUGCAAUACGGGGAUUCACCAUGCUGCAGCUAAGGGAGCUGAAUAGGCAUGGCCUUCUUGACCUGCACCUGGACCGGCUCUGCUUUGGAAGCACACACACACACACACACACACACACACACACACACACACACACACACACAAUUUUGACAAGAAAAUGUCAUGAUAGCCUCGGGCUCUUUUCCUGUUGUUUUAUAAUGGCAAACAGUCUUUUGUAAGUGAGCACCUUGGGUUUCAAUGGUAAACUGAGGCACGGAGAACCCUCCAGGUUCGAUUGGGUCUCACAUUACAUCAUAUGUGUGUAUUCCAUCUGCAAACUGGGUGUCUAUGCCUGAAUACUCAAGAGGAGCAUGUGGGUUCCUCUGAGGACAAGCAAAGGAAGUUUCUGACCCAGCAAAAGAAGUCAGGGGAUCAGGGUGGACUGAACUCCAAUCUUCAUUGUUCAUAAGGGUUUCAAGCUCUUCUGAUAUUGGAGGUCCAGGAUCUUCGGUUUCCAUCAGGGCACCCACUGAGGCACUGUGGUAAUCUAUGCUAACACCCAUCACUGCCUUAGCCUGUCCCUCAUUGGGACUCAGGCUGGUGAGCGGCUUGGACUCCAGUGCAGAGAACCGUUAGGAGUAUUUGAAGAGGUAUUGGUGGAUGCUGUGGGUCUUUGUCUCUUCUGCCUUGAGAUCCCCCUUUUCUCCUUGAUGGCUGGGUACUUGAAGCAAGUCUGAGCCAGUCUCCACCACUCCAGAAUGUCUCUGCUGGGCCUGACUUGGCAUUCCUUUUCUAAGGGACCCAGUGAUUGGGAGUCCUGAUCCCCUGUCCCUCCCUCUCUUUUUCCGCGCCCCCAUCCUUCCCAUAGCUCUCUAGCUCUUUCUCCCAAUCUCUUGUCUAAUCUCACCCCACUGUGAUCCCUGGCACUCCGCCCGCAGGAUUGGAGCUGGGAGGCGGUGACUAAUGUGCUCGGAGGUGAGUCAUCUGCUAAAUAUAAAACCCACUCACAUCCCUGGAUGCAAAAAUCCUGAGACUCCGCAUCCUUCUCCAUCCCUCCCCUCCUGGGGGCGGGGCUGAAGGAGUUUUACUCUGCACAGAAAACAAGUAAACACCACCAGGCAGCUGCAGUGGUACCAGCAUCAUCCCUGUGUCCUUCAGCUGUGUCCUGUCAGGAUAGCCAAUGUCCCUGGUCUAUCUAGGUACUCUGGGGAAGAGGAUUAAGACAGAGUCUCGACUCCUGAACCCAUGGGCAGUUAAGGAGGCAGGAAUUUCUUUACGAUCCCCCCCUCUUUUUGGCUUGUGCCCUUUUGUGUCACGAAGUUCAAACUGCCCCUUGUACUCAGCCUCCAAACGCAGGCACGCCUGGCAGAGUCCUGGAAACACUCCUGUAUGCAGGAUUGAAAUGCAGGGUUUGCAUAUAAUACCUGCUUCUUACAUACAGUUGGAAUUUUUUUCUAGGCUCAUAGCUAGUGUCUUAAAUUUGAGGUUCUUGUGUAUGGACAGACACCACACACACACACACACACACACACACACACACACACACACAGACACACACACACAGACACACACACAUACACGGACACCACACACACACACACUCACACACUCACACACAUAUACACAGACACACACACAGAAGCACACACACACAAAGCACACACACAGAAACACACACACACACAGACACACACACACACAGACACCACACACACACAUACACACACACAUACACAGACACACACACACAGAAACACACACACACAGAAACACACACACACACACACACACACACACACACACACACACCGCUCUGUAUAUGCAUGGUGUCUUUGACUAUAUACAUGAACACAUAUAUGCAACAUCCAAUAUGCAUUUAAUAUUUGAAAUUGCCUUUGUGUCAGGUGGCCCUUUAACCAUUUUUCGGGAAUGUUCUUACACUCUGCUGAGAUAGGGCCCCUCAAUGUUCUCACUUUAUAGACGUGGAGCCUAAAAUAUGCAAGAUCCAGACAGUUGUCCCAAAGAACAAUGCCAGGACUGAGUGAACCUAUAUGUCUAUAAGUUCCACGAGCCUUGCCUCAGGCUAAGCUAAUACUUUUCAGACUUCUGUGAAAUCAACAUAGGCUAAGAAGAGUCUCUCUCUCUCUCUCUCUCUCUCUCUUCCUCUCUCUCUCUCUCUCUCUCUCUCUCUUUCUCUCUCUCUCUCUGUGUGUGUGUGUGUGUGUGUGUGUGUGUGUGUAUCCACAUACGCUUACACAUGAAACACAGCUUGGGAGAAAUAGCACUAACGUUGACUACCUUCAAAUUCUAUCUUUUCUGUGAGUCCCAUUCUACUGGAAUCUACCCUGCUCUUCCAAACCUAAUUUCUUCCCAGUUUCACUUUGAUAGUCCCAGGGUCCAUCAUGUUUGCUCUGUGGCCCUCUGAGUCCAUGAAAUACAUUGUGACAUCCCAGUGUGCUCACUGCUUAAGUGGGUGGUGUGAGAGCUGAGUCCUGCUCCUAAAAGAUCAGACUUGCUCUGUGGCUUCCUUUAUUUACACAAGUGUCCUUACUUCUCUGGGCUUUGUCUUCGUAGAGCCUGUUAGCCAGAUUAGCCAGGAAGCCCAUAUCCUCCCAGACUUAAAUAAGGUGGCCUCCUCAAGUGUGGGUUGGCAUGCGCAUGGCAUGCGUGUGAUGCAGGGGAAACCCAACAGAUGGCCUGGCGAGUGUCCGCUCUGGCUCCAGGGUGUACUUUCUCCUUGCAGCACAGGGCAUAAGGAUGUCACCGUUUCCAGCUUGGGGACAUUGGAUCUGGCUGAAGCUCACACUUUCUCAUGUAAAAUGCUCAUUUCACUCCUCUCCUCUUUCUAUUUUCCUGCUUCCCAUAUUUAUCCUUUUGGAUUCAGGAAAGACCAAGGCAAGAUCCUUUUGCUUGAUCAGCAGAGGUCUAUAUGCACAGAGGAAUGCAGAGAUGAGUCAGGGGGCAGAAUCGUUUGUCCAAGUGCACCACCACACCUGUGUUCGGAUCUCUGCUGGGCCACUGAGAGUCUGCAUGACCGAAGAGUCAACACUGCCUUGUCUGGACAUGGUCAGACAGGCAGCACCCGGAUGGGUCUCAUCCUGAAAACACUUGUAGGAAAUGAGAGACUAUAAUUGAGACAGGAAGGAGAGAGCGAGUGUUAGGGAGAACCUCCCAGUGAAGGGUCCGUGAAUCUGGAAGGAUAGGAAAUACUACAUUUUUAAUAAUUCAGGGAGCCUGCCAGUCUCCAAAACCUGGCCAUACGUACUUGGCCAUUGCAUCUCAGCCUUCUGUAGUGGCUUGUCUAGGAUGGUUUGUGGGAGGUCAGACAACCUAAGUGUCACAGAAUUGCCAUAGCAGGUCACCCGUGUGCACUGCCCAGUGUCACCGAUGAGAUUCAGAGGAGACGUGGCUUGCUUGGACCUCGCAGACCAUCAGAGACUCAGAGCUAUCAUGCUUGCUAGCUACAUCCAAGAUCCCAAAGAUCUCUGAGUCUAGGGGCAGUCUUGGAGUAUAUCCAGGCCCUCUACCUCUCUGACACUGAAUGAGCCACUGGAAGGAUGGUCCCUCUUUCCCAACCUCCAGUCCUCCCAGGUCAACCCUGGCCAGGUAAAUAUGUCUCCUCCUGUAGGUAUUAGUUAACUUCUUGUGGCUAUACUGAAACAUCCGAGGAAGGCUAACUUUAUAAAGAAGAGAAGUUUAUUUGACUCCCAGUUUUAGAGCUUUCGGAUUUCAAAAAAGCAUGGCACGGGCUCUGGUGAAGAGUGCAUGGCAGAUGGCAGGAGUGUGUGGGGGAAGAAGGAUCACACCUCAGACAGAGUGAGAUUCAGCUGGGCUUUUAUAACAACCUUCCCACAAGUACCAACCAGAGACCCAUGAGAAACUUCUCAGUGUUUCUGAGGAAGGCACAUCCGCAUGGACCUGAAGGCCUUCUGAUAGAAGUGGCCCCAUUUUUGCAUGUGUGCCUGUGUGGCCUGUGUGCAUACAUGUUUGCACAUGUGUGGGUGAACAUGUGGGUAAUGUGCGUGGGUGUGCAGGCCAGAGGUUGACGCUGGGUUUCUUUCUUGAUGGAUCUCCACCUUACAUAUUAGGGCAAAUUUCUCACUUGAACCCAAAGUUUGCCAUGGCAAAUAGUCUAGUUAGCUGGACCUCUCCAAGGAGCCUCUCCCCUCCCCCGCAUCUGCUUCCAGAGUGCUGGGGUUAUCCACCCAGUGUUUCUAUGGGUGCUUGGGGUUUGGACUGUGGUCUUCAUGCUUGCUCGAAAGUGCUUGUCCCAUAUAUCCAUCUCUCCAGCCCCUAGAAUCUUACCUCUUAAAGGUGCUCCAGUCUCAACCCUGCCACCCUGCAGACUAGAGUCCCAACACACACUCCCCUGGGCAUCGAGUAACAGCUCUCUGUAUCACUGUUUCUCUAAAGCAAGGCUUCCUUUAGAGGGAGUUUCCUUGGGGGUGGGGGUGGGGCGAAGUAUUCACACCAAUUGUCUGAAGAUCCAUGUCUUCUCAGCGUCCUCCCAUCUCUGGAAGGGAUGACCAAGCUGUCAGGCUGGUGACCUUUGCCCUCCACUCUUAUCUGGAAUAGAGGGAGUCCUCGGGGUGUCUCGGAAUGCUGAGGCAUAUCAGACGAGAGUUCUUUUUCCUUGUGCCUAGGUGCCUCCCCCUCCCCUCUCGCACCCCAUCAGAAAUCUCUUGGAACCUAAUUUUGUAACUGAAUUCACACUCUGAGAAAGCCUUUGAGGAGUCAUCUUGCUUCCUCUACUCUGUGAGAAAACCUAUCUGCAGCUGAUGACCAGACCCUCUGAAGACACAAAAUGCCCUGCUCACCGAGAGCCACAGUGGACUCUGGGCUUUCCCUCCCCCCAUCCCUGAAGCAGGGGCUGUUGCCACCCUUGUCAGGGACCGGGGUAAGGUGUGUCCCUGAGUUCUCCGUGCAGAGGGGAAAGGAAUACCAUGUACUGUAUUCCUUUGUAUAUAUGCACUACUGGAGCAGGCAGGGCCUGCAUUUCUAGAAGCUUUGGAGAGCUGGUUUGAGAAAGGAGCAGGUUUGCCUCUGUUUUCUUCACCCAGGAUCGGACACCUAUGGUAUACCUCCCACUCUUGUAAAAUGCAUUUGCUCACAGUGUCAGGCCCAUGUCUCAGGAGAGAGGCAGGGACAUACAUGCUCCUGACCAUCUGAGUUACAGCGAGGCAAACAGACCUACAGCCUCCCCCAACCCCUUCCUGUCUAUUCUGGAGAGCCUAGGUAUGGACUUCUCAUGAUUUCAAGCAAGAGAACCUUGUGGAAACUUCCAGCACCACAAGGGAGGGAGCGUGAGUUUGCAAGGCCCUCUCUGCAGCACAGACAGUUCCCUUGGCUCAGGUUAGAACAGGCACCAGGGAUGGAGACUCUAGGUUUGCUGAGGGAGAAAGGCCAGUCAGUGCAGAGGAAAUGGCUCUGCGACAGAGAGGCCUUGCUCAGUGGGAACCCCUAGCCAUAUGACAAGGUACCUAUUAACACUGCGUCAUCUGGGAACACAAGCUUACUCUUGACUCUAUAGGCAGCAACCAAGAAGUGAGGGCUCUCUGGUCUGUGACAGAUUGUCUCGCUGUCCUUGAUCUAACAGAGAAGCCACCUCUCAGCCACUAAGUGGCAAGAAUGUUCUUGAUGUGGACCUCCAUUUUCAGGACAUCUGAACUCUCUCUCUGCCACCUUGACCUUCAGUAGAGCCUGGCUGCCUGCACUCACCCAGGCUGUUUUCUGAGGUCCCUGUCCUUGGCUUCUGCUGAGCCCUGCCCCCUUCCACUGCAACGAAUCUGAAUGAGGUAGGGUCUGAAGAAUAUGGCGGUGGAAAAGAGAGUAGCCUGGGACUUUUCCCAUAAUGUCUGAGUCAGUCAGCCCUCCCAAACCCUUGAAAGGGAGCUGCCGAGGGCAUGUUUUACUUUAGGCACACAGUCUAGAUUUCUUUACACCCACCCUUGUCAUUUCUGGACAGGGGAACAGCCAGGAUUGCAUCUCUGGAGCUGGGAGGAAGGGUAAUAGAGGUGACUUCCAUAGAGACUAGAACUCCCUGAGUGCAGUAGGUCCCAGAGAGCAUGCGUCGAGUGACAGUAACACCUUCCACCUCUACCUCCAGAGAUGGAGUAAGGGGGCUCCCCAGAUGCUAGCCCUUCCACACCAUCUGAGAGAAUGCAUGGCCUGAAUGUCCUCAGGUCCCUGGUCAGACUGUAGAUUGGCUCCAAGCAUUAAAGGAGACAUGUUUGGCAGUCAGUCAGUCCUGUCUGUGUCUGUCAACCUCCCCUGGGGUUUGACUGCCACCUCUAAGCCUCAGACCUUCACUCCUUCCCAAAUCCCCAGUCUCAUGGUGGGCAGAAGCCAGAGCACCUGUGUUGGAAUCCCAGCCCGGUCGCAUUUCAGUGGAGUGCCCAUCAGCAGGUUAACCAGCCAUUCUUACUCUCAGUCCCUUGACCUAAAAACGCAGCGUGACUGUGCUCAUCCCCUGCCUUGAGAUGCCUGAGGGAUCAGCUGAAGAGAGCCAAGGACACAGGCACCCAGGACAGUUCACAGGCCCAGCCAGGACAACACAUGCUUCAGGGCACACAGGGAGGCCUUCGACUCAGCACGCAGGCCUAAUUCGCCCCUCAGCAGCUUCCUGGUUGGUUAUUCGGCCUCCUUUGCAAGGGAGCUGUGAGGUGUAGGCGCUGACUCAACACUGCCUCUCCAUUUUGGUGACAACGUUUGGCAUCAAAAGGUGGAGAGGGCCUCAGUGCUUCGGUUAGGAGAUCCUGCUGCCUCAAACACAGAACAAGGCCCACUUCACCUUGCCCUACGCACCUAGGAUAAGGACCCAAGAUGUCCAUUUCAUACCCCCACCCCGCCCCCGCCCCAUUUUGGUACCUCUGCAGCAAUCCCUGAGUUGGACUGAUGUUGGCAGAGCAACUUAACAUUUUUGCCUCAGCCUGAUGCCCAAGGUGCCUUUGCAGCCAGGAUGGCAGAGCGGGCUGGUGUUGCCUUGAAAAUACGGGACGCAUCUGCCCCCUAGUGGCAGGGUCAGGAACAACUGCGGCUGCUUCCUCCUUGGCUUGGCAGCCUGGUGGCCAGACUUGAAGACUGGCUUUAGGUCACCAAAGGCUACAGAUCCAAGCUGGGCCACAAGGUGGGGGCACGCUCCAGGUCUUAGUCUUGACUUUCACCCACAGAAUUGUUUGCUAAUUUUUUUUCACUCAGCAAAUACGGAGUGUCAACAUGUGAGACAGUAUGGCUCCAAGCAGUGGUGGCUAAGACAGCCGAUGACUCCAGCCACCUGACACCCGCCUCCUCACUCAAAUGUGAAGUCGAUCGAUUGUACAAACAGAAGCGCCUUAGAAGUUCCUAAAGAGCUGAGAACCAGGCAGGAGACCACGGGGUGAUGUAGCGGCUCCCGUCUCAGGUUUUAGGAGUUAAAGAGACUGCUGUGUAGGAACGACUAAGGUCUUUGUGUGAAGCCUUCUGUCUUAAGGAGCCACAGAGGCUGAAGAGUGGCAUCUGCAGCAGAUGAUGCCGACAGCUCCUCACCUUCCCAGGCAGAGGCUUGAAACUGGACCCUCUGUGCAUGCACAGAAAUAAACUCAAAAUAGAUAAAGACGUCAGUGUAAACCUAGAAAGUAUCAGCCUGAUAGAAGGAAAUGGGAGAUUUCAUGACCUUCUAGGUCAGUGGUUCUCAGCCUCCCUAAGCUGUGAACCUUUAGUAUAGUUUCUCAUGUCAUGGUGACCCCCUUCUCCCAAGCCGUAAGAUUAUUUUCGUUGCUACUUCAUAACUAAUUUUGCUGCUGUUAUGAUUUAUAAAGUAAAUAUCUGGAUAUGCAUAUCUGUUAAGCCAUCCCUCGAAAGGGUCGUUCAACCCCCAAAAGGGGUUGUAAACCCCUGAUCUAGACAGUGGCUCUUGCCCCCCAAACAUAGGUAUCAAGUAAAAUAGACCUACACGUUGCAUCAAAACAAGGCACUUCCACACAGUCAAGAAACAAGCAACAAAGCGAAGACAGAUUGGAAAGCAAAAGAAAACGUUCCCAGCUGUAAGCUGCUAGGGUCUGGCUUCUGCAAUGUCCGAGGAGCAGGGGCACUUAGCUUUCAGCAAACAAAAUGCCUGACUGAAAAUGGGCAAAUAGUCUGGAAAAUGACCUUUCUUGGCCAUGCACCGAGAGCUAUAUUAAAAGUGGGUACUCUCGCUAGACACCAGACACAUAUAAACCGCAAACAUGGUGAGUUCUUCCUACGUGUUUGUUAGGCCACCUAAUGGCCAAGAGCACAAAAGCUAGCAAGGAUUGGUGGGGAUGUGAGAGGGCAGAGGCCACACACUGUUGGUGGGGACGCAGAUAUGACCAUGUAGAUCAGUAUGCAGUGUUUUGUUUUUUAAAAUGGAUUAAAAAACACAUCUACCACAUUUCCCAGUCCCAAAGGGAAUGAAGUUAGCAUGUAAAAAGAAUCACUUGCCUAUGGGGUCCCUUCCUUAAAUCUGUGCAGUGUAGCAAGACCUAGAAUCAUUGUGUCUAUUGAACAUAAAAGGUAAAGGGUAAAGUGUGUGUGUAUGUGUGUGUGUGUGUGUUGUGAAUAUGUAUGUGUGUAUGUGAGAGGGGUGGGGAAAGGGAGAUGGAGAGAAAGAGAGACAGAGACAGAGACAGAGAAACAGAGAGAGACAGAGAUUCCAUUUACAUUGGGUACCUAACGUUGUCUUCAGGUGUGUAGAACAGAAGAUAUGUGGAGAGAGGCUGGAGGUAGGACUGGUAAUAACACUGUAGUGGGUUCUGAGUGUUAGGCAGGAUGGAGAGACCUGGUGGAGAGAGCACUGGGAUUAUGGGUUAUAACAUGAUUGUGAACUUUAAUGUGCUAAGAUAUUCUGAAUGCUAAGUAUGACACAUAGACUAAGAGGCAGAGAUGUGAAUUAGCUGAAUGGACUAAUCAUUUCACAUACACACAGACAUCAGAGAGUCACACUGGACACAUGAAAAAUAUACAGCAGGAAAUCUGGAAAACUACGAAUGUCCUCUUACCUGGGGUUGUCAUUCUAUCCAGUGUGGUGUUUGUUAGGUGCUCAAGCAGGGCUCCCCAACUUUUCUCUUUCCUCAGAGGCAGGGAGCUUCCACCAUCACUAGCCAGGGACAGAUUUCUGGUGCCAAACACAUUGUGUUUUGGUGUGAUGCCAAUAAUUAAACACCAGUGCAGGAAGUGACGGGGAAGACAGCGUGUCAGACAGUUGGACCCUGCUUCCCCUACUUAGAACCUCUUAGGACCUUGGUCAUGACAUUGAAAAUCCCAGUUUGGCCUUUCCCCUAAAGCCAUGCUCCUGGAUCUCAUGAGUCACAAGGAAACUGGAGCAUGUGGCCCCUUGGGCUUUCUGUUGCCAUGUGGGACUCUACCCCAGCCAAGCUUGGUCUGGCUUUUGGAAAGGUGGCUUAAAGACACCACUGCUUUCAUUAGAAGAAGGAGACAAACCCUUAAUAAUGAGCCUGACAUAUCUCACUCAGAUCCAACUGUGUACCAGUGUGUUGAUCAUCUGUGGCAGGCUUGAGAAGACGAUAGUAUGAUGUUUCCCUUGUCUACAGCAUUGUAUACAGCUGAAUGGGGCCAGGUCUUCUGUUUAAUCUGAUUGUUGCUGGGGCUAGACUAUCCAUAGUGACAUCUUCACCCACAUGUGAUCCUCUGCUGGGUGGUGUGAUGAACCAGAGGCUAGCCAGGCAUUUCUCCCUGGUGGUGACUCUACCUAGAUCAUUGGACCUUUCACUUGGUGGCUCAAGGCUGCAAGAGCUACAUGAGGUCUACAGGGGGCGGCACCCCAAUGUGUGUGUCCUUAUGACAUUCCAAUAGACACAAUAAAGGUCACAGGGCUAACCCAAUGAGGGGUCACUGCUGCGGGAGGAAGCCUCAGAAAAGCAGGAAUCCUGGGAAGUGUGCUACUGGUUGCCACCAGUAGGUGUCACCACUUUAACAUGCGACAAUAGGCGAUUACAGUGCUGAUGUUAGGAGCCCCUCAUAAAGUGGUGUGGCUAUAUCCCCAACAGACUGGAGAAUCGGGAUCUAUUUCAUUGGAGCUCUCCUACCCAGAUAUAAUUUUCACCUAGGAAAUUCUAAUGUUUUUCUCCUAGUUUUAUCUGUGUUGCUGUCAUAAAUGCCCUAUGAAAAAGAAACUUUUGGGGAAGAUGGAUUUUUUUUUUAAGCUCCAGGCUAUAGUCUAUCAUUUCUGGGAGGUCACAGUGGCUACAACCUGAAACAACUAGUCACACCACAUCCGCCCAUGAGGGAAGAGAGAAAUGUAUGAAUGCAUAGUCAUUUGUCUGAUUGUUUGCUCGGUUUAGUGAUUUCUUUGCUCUUUUACAGUUUAGGCCCUCCUUCCUGCCUAGGGAGUGGUGCUGCCCACAGUGGACCCUGUCUUUGCACAUCUCUUAAGUAUGUCAAGCCCCCGCAGACACGCCCUCAGGCCAAUGUAGGCAACGCAUCACCGGGUAUCUCUUACCAGGUGAUUUCAGGUUAUGUCAAGUAGUCAGAGCUGAUGUCAUAGCUCCCAUAACCAGAUGUGUCAGAGGAAAACAAAGCAACAGAGUCUCUCUUGUGCUGAGGUGGAGGCUUUAGGAGCUGGUUCUCCCCAUGACACAGUCUAGCCUUCAGACUGUCAUCCCUCUGCAGUAGUUCGCUAGUUCAUCCCUGCUGGAACAGCUGUCUGCACCAACAUUUUACAAUCCAUUCUUCUUUUCUCUUGUCCUCAAAAGUGUCCUGGGAGAAAGUCCCCAGUAGGAACAUUGGCAGUGGGGUCUGUGACAGCGAGUGCCUCAGCUGUCAGUCUCUAAAUAUAAGCUGUAAAGUAAAAAUGACAACAGCAGCAGCAGCAGCAAUAAUAAUAACUCAAUGCCCACUGUUAGGUUGGUAGCAUCAUUAUUUAUUUCAUUUUAAAUAUUCUUUUAUUCUUUUAUGUGUCUUCAUGUUUUGACUGUGAAUCUGUGCACCACAUGAGGGCCUGUUGCCCCUAGAGGCCAGAAGAAGGUGUUAGGUUCCCUGGAAGGGGAAUCAUGGAUAGUGUGAUAAUGAUGAUGCAUGGGAAUAAUAAUAAGUAAACAUUAUUAUUAAUUAUUAUUAUUAACUAAUGCUUAUUAUUGUUAAUAUAUUCCCAGGCAUUGAUCUUAGUGUUCUUGCCUAGGUGUAGAAGCCUAGGUUAAUCAGACUCCCUGACCACUGAACUGCCCUUGUCUUACUCUACAUUUGCUUAUCCUUUUGUUCCCAUCCCUCAUAGGUACCCAGGCUCCCAGGCUUGCUGUACACCUUCACACACACACACACACACACACACACACACACACACACACACACCCCUCGGAAGCACAGAUUGUGAUCUUCCAUGUAAUGUGCUGAAUCUACAGAAAAGAUACUAAGUCACCCAUUGUAUAUGGAUUUUAGGCCCACCCAUGGUUAGAGAUGUGGAAGGACCUUGGAUGGGACACGGCAUUAAACCUCAAUAGCAUCUGUUUGGCUCUGUUCCCAUGGCAACAGUGACAAGCCUGGCUCUGAUGGAUGGACAGGGUGCCCGAUUGCAUAUGUUCAGCCUUUGGUGUCUGCCACUUUAUACCACACCUUGAAUCGAAGAAGGAUUUUUAUUCUCGUUCCAUGAGAUUUGUCCUCUCACAGAGUGUAAUCCAGUGGAGCCAGAGUUAAUGUGGUCAUCUAAUUCUAGACUGUCCCCAUUAGACUCCCAAAGAAACCUCAUCCCAUCUAUAGACUCCCCCAUCUCCCCCUCUCUCCUCUUCUCUGUCUUAAGGUGAUCACUGGUCAGCUUUAUGUCCCUCUGUUGAGCAUCAUAAGCAGAUCUGCCAUUUCUGAACAUUUCAUCCUGUGAGGAAUCCUGUGAUGUGUGGCCUUCCAUGGCUGGCUUCCUUCCUUCAGCAUAAUGUUCAAGGUUCAUCCACGUAGUACCAUUCAUUCCUUUGCCUGGCUGAGUAGUGUUCCGUGGCACACACACAGAACAUUUUGUUUAUCCCAUCAUCUGUGCACACAUUCAGGGGAAAGAAUUGGCAUGGGUUAGAGCUGUGCUUGGAAGAUAUAGAGAACGGAUAUGAUCAAGUCAGGAAGAUUUCUCAGUCAGCAGGCUCAUGAGACAAAGUUAGUAUUUUAGUAAGUUGCUGUGACAAUCAGGUCUGCAGGGAGUCAGAGACAGGAGCGAAGGAGGGCAGGCUACUACAGUAAUCAGGACAGAAAGAGCAGGGACAUCUUUGUGCCAGGUGCAACCUCCAUUUCUCGCUGACUCCUCCCAGUUCCCCUUUUCUCUUUGCUCCCCCACAAGUCCCUCUCUGUCCUUCUCUGUCACAUAUCUCUCUGGGUUCUCUUCUCUCACUCACUUGCUUCCCUCCUUCCCUCUCUUCCAGUCUUUCUCUUCCAUUCUCUCCCCUCUCCUAUCCCUCCUUUUCUUUCUCCCUAGAGUUAAUGUGGUCAUCAUCACUAAUUCUAGACUGUCCCCAUUAGUUCCCCAAAGAAACCUCAUCCCAUCUGCAGACUCCCCCAUUUCCCUUCCCCUUUCUUACUCCCUCAACACUCCCUCAUUCAGUUUUCCUUUAUCUCUAUUCUUUCUAUUUCUCUCUCCUUUCCUCCCCUUCCCUGCCUAUUUCCUUCUCUCCCCCUCUGCCUCCUGUGCUCCUCCCUCUUUCCCUCUCUCUUUUCCCCCUCCCAUUGAGCCUGGAAGCAGCUUAUCUCAGGCAGGAGGCCAGAGAGCUUUCAGCCCUGCCUCCUGUUUCCUUCUGCAUGGCUGUUGAGGGUCAGCUGGUCGCACUCCUUCCUGGAAUGAGCAUGAUGAUAAUUGCCUCUUGCACAAUUAUCUGCCAAGCUCUGUCGGUAAUGAAAUGAAUGAUUUAGUUAUCCUUGUUAGGAAUAGCCCACAAUGCUCAGAAACUCAUUAUUGCAGCCACAAAGCUGGCAGGAAUGCCCUCGGAGGCACCUGCAAGCGGCUUUUCCAAUUAGCCCUCCCUUCUUUGCCAGAGACCACAGCCCCAUCCAGCCCCCACAAAGUGCUGGAAGCAUUUAAAGGGAAACCAAGAAACAAGCCCUGGGCAGAGCUUGCUGGACAAGCACAGGGCCUUGAGCUUGAGGUCUAGCUCUGCAAGAAAUGUGAGUCUGGGCUGGGCUUCCUUUCUGCCACUUUGACCCACACAUCAUGAAGCUGCUUUCUCCCAGUGUAUAGGAAGGAUUACUAGAAGCUCCAUGGUGAUAUUCACAGUGCAGAGGCCACUAUAGUUCUGGGGAAAGCUUGCUUGGCCAGAUAAUGUACACACCCUAUAGCACAUUUCUAUCUCCUACUGCCUCUCUGAGUGCUUUCCUUUUCCAAGGCUUCAUAGUCAUGGUUCAGCCUUGAUUCCUGUCUCAGACUUUCUCUACUGCCUGCAUCUGCUGCGAGUGUCUAGGCUUAGGUGGAUAAAGAAGAACAGAUAGAGGGGUGUAUGGGCAUGGCUGGAGAAAGUUGGACCCAGGGUCACAGAGGUACACAGAAGUGUGUGAGGGAAGUUGUUUCUCUUUUGGGAGAUUCUAUACAGAAGUAGGGAAAGAGUGGCCUGGAGCUAAUUAAAAAUGCUGUUUCAGUUAGAGAGUAGAAACACUGUUUCAGCUAGAGAAACACUGUUUCAGCUGGAGAGUAGAAACACUGUUUUAGUUAGAGAGUAGAAACACUGUUUCAGUUAGAGUAGAAACACUGUUUCAGUUAGAGAGUAGAAACACUGUUUCAGCUAGAGAGUAGAAACACUGUUUCAGCUAGAGAGUAGAAACACUGUUUCAGCUAGAGAGUAGAAACACUGUUUCAGUUAGAGAAUAGAAAUACUGUUUCAGUUAGAGAGUAGAGAGUGCCCCCCACAAUUCAAGUCCCCUUCUAAAUCAGAACCAUUGCUCAUUGACCACUCCCUGGGUAGCACACCUCAGAGACCUGUAGAGUGGGGUGGCUGCCUGAACCCAGGUCUGGUUCCACUGCCAAGAUCAGCCUCGGCUUGUAGAGGGUUUCUGAGAAACAGGUGUUUGAGAACAGUGAAAGAAAGGACUCAAAGUCAAUCAUGGGGUAUAAGCUGAUGGCCUGUGCUCUGCUGGAGACAGCUUUCUCUAGACAUCUUCAGACAGCUCAUCCAGAUAGCUUAGUUCUCAUAGACCAGGCUUUUAUUUUACAUAUCAGUUGUUCACCCCAGGUUUCCUUCUGAUUAUCCCAUGAAUCAAUACUAUGAUCCCAGCCCCCUGAUUCUUAGAAAGAGACAGCAAGUAGAUUUUUUUCUUUUUUUUCCUUAACAUUGCAAAUGAAUUCAGAGACCUGUCUGUUUAUGUAAGCACAAACAAUAAUCUUAGCUAGGUGGGAUCUUGCCCUGUGAUCACCACUCCCCAAAUCUCUUUAUCUCCCUCCUUAAUAUUUUUCUGACAAGCAGGCUUAUAGUGCCACUGCAUCUCUUUUAGGUCCAUGAAACCCCUCAUAGAAGUCAUAUUGCAUUAUUAUAUUUUGCAUAGUUGAGAAAUUAUAUAUAUAUUAUAUAUUUUAUCUCAUGUGUAUUGGUGUCAGAUUCCUCUGGAGUUACAGACAGUUGUGGGCUGCCAUGUGGGUGCUGGGAAUUGAACAUGAGUCCUCUGGAGGAGCUGUCAGUGCCCUUAAAAAUUGAGCAACCUCUCCAGCUCCCAUGCACACUAUCCGAGUUCUUUCCCACAGCCUUAAGAGCUGUCCUAAAGGUCUUAGUGUUUACCAUAUUGCUUCCAGGAUUCAUGCUGUCCCAGAUUAUCAUAGAGUCAUAAACCUUGGCAGAGAGGAAAUUUCCCCAAAGGAAGAACAUAAAGAACAAAGAAGCCUUGUACCUAGCAACUGUCAACAGUUGUGGAGGCCCACACCCAGCUGGCUCUGCUCCAGAGGUAGAAAACCAUGUCACUGUCCCUUCCACAUGGCCAUGAAAGACUCAGUGCUCCACCCCUUCUAUGGUUCCAGUCUGGAUAACUCAUGUUCAUUCACACCUGUACUUGGCUCUAAAGCCUCCGGCAAGUCAUUCUAUAAAAAAAUUGAGGCAACUUACAAACAUAAUGAUGAAGCAAAUGGAUUGACUAGAUGCUAAGAGAGAGACACAAUGGGCAGAUUCCACUGGGGUUAACAAGACAGGAUGGCCCCUGACCAUCUCUGCUGUGACCAGAGAGGCUGUCCCCAGGACAGUUAACUCUGAGAGCAGGAAAGAUGCACUGAGAAUCAGUGGGUGGUGCUGUCUCUGAGAAGGGGCUUCCCUGGGCAACACUAGUAUGGUGGCCAGUAAUGAUGAGGACAAAGCAUAAACUGGUUCUGUUAUUCCUGCUGUUGUUGGUCAUUUCUGAAGUCUUAUGAAAAUCACCAACAGUGUUUUUGUCUAUAGUAAUGAGAGAGAGGGAGGGGCAGGACAGAAACUUUCUCCUAUUUGCAUGGAGGUGAGAACCAUCUCCCCAGGACCCCUUGUUUCCCAAGAAACUACUGAAGUCUGGCUAUUCUGUAUCCCAAGGGUUAGAAAACCCUUGCUUUGAUCUCAGUGGAAGGAGAAUUAUCAGAAAGGAAGGAAGGAAAGAAGGAAAGAAAGGAGGGAGGGAGGAGAGAAGAGGAAUGGAGAAAGAGGCAGACAGAAGAGAGGAGGAAGAGAGAAAAUAGAGAAGGAAGGAGACAGUGAGAGUGGGAUUGUGGAAGAUAUGGAGGCAGAAAGGUAGGGGGAGGAGGGAGGGAGAAGGAGGGAAAGGGAGAGGGAGGAAAGGUUUUUGUUACUAUCUGCACUGGAAUAUUGUUAGACGAUAUACAAAUAUGAUAGAUAAGGGCAGCCUCUUCUUGUGCAUCGAGGCUGAUUAUUCUCCACCUUGCAGGAGAGCCCCUGACCCCCGUGAGCAAGUACAUCCCACUUAUCAAGGGUGUGGCUCUGAUCUGCAAACUGCCUGGACCUCAAUCUCAGCCCUGCCACUUCCAAGCUGUGUGAUGCUAAACACACAGGUUUCUUAACCUUUCCCUGCUGCACUUCUCUCAUUAGCAAAAGCUAAUCGUACAUACAAUUUCUAGUUCUCCACCUCGGGGCUGGCCUGCCUCCCUCAGCUGUGAGUCAGUAAUCCAGAAUCUCCUCCACAGGCUGUGGUGUUGUUCAGAUAACAGGUGGCUAAGUAAGGUUGGAGGUGAAACACCCAUGUCUCGACUGUUUGGGGUAGACAGAGCUCUCAGUGGUGUCUAGCCAAGAGUCCUUUUCAGUCUGGGGUGCUAGUAGUCACACCUUUCCCUAAUGUGGAUGAUGUAUAAGCCUAUGGGAGCACCUAGUGUGUGUGUUUGUGGGGGGGGUAGUCAGUGAACAGCUUCUUCUAGCAGACAUUCUCUUCAUACAAUCUGUUUCACCCUAGAGUAAAGGGACAUCACAGGCUUUCAGGUCCUACAUGGAGAUCUCUCAAGACUCUCAUGGCAAUUGUAAGGGUCGGGAGUGUGGAGACACAAGGUGGGAGCUGGCAGCAGCAGAGGGAGCCCAGUCUUCAGCUGGAAGACUUUUGCCUUCUGAGAACUUCAUCUCUAGGGUUUAGUCCCAAGAUGUUUACAUAAGGCUGUUCGGUAUAGCUAGUGGCCAUACCCUACAUGGCAUUUGCAGCCUGCCCUAUGAUCAGACUUCAGGAGGUAUUGACAAUGCUUGUCAUGGGUUGGGUGGGCAAAGGACAGUGGUGUGUAUGUGGGAGGUGUCUUGGAUAAGGAAGGGAGUUCCAAACAAGGAACACCCAGGCCUGCUACACCAAGGUCAGGCAGUCCACAACAGCUGAUAGGAGGCUGUUGCAUGGGAUUCAACCAGAUUAGGACCUCCUUCCUAGUGAAUGGUACACCAGGAACAUACAGCGACAGCCAGGUGGCUAAAGGAAAGCAUAAGAACAGGACAAACAAGAAGCAUGUCAGCUUGACACCCCCAGGGUGAAGCUACCCUGCUACAGGAAGCUAUGGCCACACUAACACAGCAGAAGAACAAGAAAAUGGCCUCAAAGUCCACCUUGUAAAAAUGAUAGAUGCCUUUAAAGAGGAAAGAAAUAAAUCCCUCAAAGAAAUACAGAAAAAUGCAGUCAACCAAGCAGAGGCCUUUAAAGAGUAAAUUAUUAAUUUCUUGAAAGAAAGAAAGAAAGAAAGAAAGAAAGGAAGGAAGAAAGGAAGAAAGAAACAAACAACAGAAAAAUACGAUUAAAUGGGUAGGGGUGUUGGAUAAAAGUGUUUGUGACCUGAAAAUGAAAAUGGAGGCUAUAACUAAAAGGUAAUGUGAGGAAUCCUGUAGAUGAAAUGCUCAGGAAAGAACAGGACCAACCAAAUUAAACACCAACAACAGAAUAUAAAACUGGUUAAAAAAGAAAAAAGGUCUCAGGAUUAGGAAAGACGAUGGAAGAAAUGGGUGCAUCAGUCAAAGGAGAUGUUAAACCUGAAAGGCCCAACACAAACCAUCCUGAAAACGUAGGCUACUAUGAAAAGACUUAAAUUAGAAUAAUAAAAUAAUAAAAUAAUAAAAAUAGAAGAUGAAGAGUCCCAACUCCAAGGACCUGCAAAUAUUUUCAGCAAAACCAUAGGGAAAAAAAAAAAACAACCCUUAAACCUGAAGGAAGAGAUGGGUGUACACACACAAGAGGUUACUGAACAGCAGUUAGAUUGGACCAGAAAAAAAAACCUUCCCACCACAUAAAAAUCAAAAGGGUCAAUGUACAGAACAAAUAAACAAUAUUACAAGGAGCAAGAGAAACAGGCCAGGUGAGAUUAAAAAAAAAAAAAAUCAGGACCUUCCUUUUGGUUCCCAUCUGUGCCUGGGAGUAGAUCCUGGGUUCCAGCCCCACCCACACCCCACCCACAGACAACUUGACCCCCAGGAGUUCUUAUGCUUCGAGGCUCAUAGAUGAGCCACCCCCCACCCCCCAUCCCCACACUAGCCAAAUACCUGGCCUAACUGGGACCCCUGGGGAGUCCCAGAAGAAUCAAGGUUAAUUUGGAGAAGGAAGUAAGGGAGAAAAGCGAGAGCAUCUCAGACACACAUAAGUUGGUAGGGAGUGCCAGGAAAUGAAAGAAUCAGAUUGUUGCAGAACAGCACGUAGGUCUCUGGUGUGGAGGUUCUGGAUGGAACAAGGACCAGCUGAAGAUACUAUUCGAAUAAUUUAAGUGGGAUUCUUUCGGGUGGAAAGUGGCACACGGUAGGGCCGGGAAGAGUGCAAAGACUCGUCUUCUGAUUGGAGGCCAGCUAAGACUCUUUCCUGGCAAUGUCACAGACAGGAUGGAGCAAAGGGGUGAGUUCAAAUACCGUGUGUACCCAUGUGUGCGCACAGCCCAGCAUGUGCAACCUGCCCUGGUUCUUUUCCAUGUCUACAUUGCCUUGGUGGCAGGUGUGGAAGCUGGCGAGCUCCUCGCUGUGAUCUGUUGAGUCUUGAAACUGCGGCACGGUUUCCUAAGGAGCCUUGUGGAACGAGGUGCCCUGGGGUUGACGGGAGCCAGACACAGGUGUCCAGAGGCUGGGUGACUUAGUCCAGGGAGUUGGUUUCUAAACUGGAACAUUUUCCCUUGGUUUUAUAAAGGGGGGGAUGGAUUGUACCCAGGAGAGCUAUUUGGAUGGACAUUCAUUUUAAGCUCAGUUCUUUAGGCACAGAGUGAGGGAGGUGCUGGGGAGAUUUGAUCUGUAGCCUGUAGUGACUGCAGCUUCCCUUCAGAUUGUUGGAGAGCUGGAGGGAAAAUAAGGACUCCGUAGGCUGAGAAGGAGACACCUGACUCUUCAGCUCUGUGAGAAAGAGACAGGGAGGCAAGAGACUCAAGCCUGGGACAGGGAGGACAUAGGAACACUCAGACAGGGAUGGGGGUUGCAGGGGAAGGUGCCUAAGUUGGGACAAGGAGGUUACAGGGUGCUAGGGAGGCCCCAUGCACUCUGUUUCUAGCUAUCGUUAUCUAUCUAUCUAUCUAUCUAUCUAUCUAUCUAUCUAUCUAUCUAUCUAUCUAUCUAUCUAUCGCUUUGAGACAAAACCUUUUCAUGUAGCCCAUGUCAGCUUUGUGUUUCUAUUGACCUGGUAAGAGCUAAGACAGGACAUUGUGAGACAGUCGGCAGUGGGACAAUAAGACCACCCACUUCCAUGUGGUGCUGCCCUCCAUUCCUGUGGUGUCUCUUAUUCUCUGACUGUAAGAAAAGCAGGAUGUCCAGUCAGGGACACAGAUGGCUUUGGUGUGUGUGUGUGUGUGUGUGUGUGUGUGUGUGUGUGUGUGUGUGUGUGUGUGGUAUGUAUGUGUGUGUGGUAUGUGUGUAUGUGUGUGUGUGUAUUGUGGUGUGUGUGGUAUGUGUGUAUGUGUGUGUGUAUUGUGGUGUGUGUGUGUGUAUUGUGGUGUGUGUGUGUGUGUGUGUGUGUGUGUGUGUGUGUGUGUGGUGUAUGAACAUGUGUGUGGGUGUGAGAAGCAUCAAAAGGAUCAUCAGCAGACCAGAGCACAGGAUCAGAGUUUCUGGGCAGGGUGGGUAGGGCAAGGUCCUGCCUGUGUCAGCCCAGAGGAUGCUCCAUCAGACUCCUGUCAGCCUGCAUAGCUGGAGCAGCAAUCCUGGUUGCACUCACCGAGGAGGAGCCAAGAGCAGCCCCAAGACAGAGUAAGUAGAGCUGUGGAGGACCCGAGGGCUCGGUGGGAGGCUGAAGAAGCCAGGGAUGCUCGGUCAGACUCGGCCUUAUAGUCUGAGAUAAAAGAGAAAUGGAAGAUGGGGUAUCUCUGUGCCUGCCUUUCCCUGUCCUCCAACCCCUGCUUGAUAUUUCUGUCCGAUGAACCCUGCCAUCUCAAAGCUACUGGUAGAGACUUGAAAUUCGAAAUAGAGUAAUUAAAGGUGUGAGCACAAGGACCUGUGUGGCCCAUAGUUUGCCCCACAGGGUGUGGGUAGUGGGUGUCUGGUAUCCCAGUGGCCAGCCAGGAGAUGGGAAGGGAAUCUCAGGUUGAUAGACCCACAGAGGGAGGCAGGUGGGUUUAGACAAGAUGCAAAUCUUAUUUCUGCUUACAGGUGCUCCCUUAGAAUGCCGUGGAAAGUGUGGAGCACACAGGCCCAGGACUCGGACAACAGAGGUAGGGAUCAUGGAAACUCUCUUGUUUUCUCAGCCGACCGACCUGACAUUCUGAGGAUAAGAGGUAGCUUUGCAGCUGGUUGAGGAGGAUUUGGGAUGGGCGAGCAGCUCCUCCAAUGGCCAUUGCCCCCUCUCUACGUCUCUAGACUCAAGAAAACUCCCAGCUUCUGGUACAUAUGCCACUCCCGGAGAACUUAAGAAACUUCCUUGAUCUCAGCCUUCUCUGAGUGGCAGUGGGCCCCAUGGUUUAAGCCCUAAAGGGACCCUCAGGAGUUGGCAGGAUCCCUUGCUGCCUUGUGGUCCUGGUGUCCUUUCCAAGGCAUAUACUCUGAGCGAUGCAGCUCUUUUCCUUUCUGGAGCAUCAAAGGGGUAAGUCAAACCAUGGGUGUCUACACAGAAGGUUAGAAGGCCUUGGAGGAGUCACCAUAGCACCUGAGGCUCUUGUCACCUCUGGCCAUUCCAUCCCUGUGACCAACCUCAGCAGACUGCCUUAACCAGAAGUAGGGAAGUCAGGCAGCCAGAUGGCCAAUGUGGAAUUCACCAUGUCCCCACCUCCUCACCCCCACCAUUUCUUCUUGCUGCUGUGAGCCCCUCCCAAUCCAGAGCCUGUGGAAAUCACCAUGUUGCUCCAUGACUUAUUUCUGUCUCCCUCCCAGGUUUCAAUGGCAGGGCCUGUGACUUACUAAUCUCUUUAAAGACAAGAAGACGAGCCCUGCAGGAGUAGCUGAUACCAUUUGGUACCAUGAGGGGGCAUUGAUACCUCACAGGACCAGAAAUGUGCUCUAAAGAGCUUUUCUUUUUAUUGGGAGAGCCAGCCUCCUCCUGUGGCCAUCCCAAACCUCUGUAAACUGUGUCUCACCUGUACCAGUUCCUUACUCAGAAUCCUCAGAAGUCCCUCUUGGUUUCCAUGACCCUGGAGGCAGGUGUUUCAUCCGUGUGUAUUGGUGCUCAAAACAGUGCUCAGAGGAACAAGAGUUGAAUCACCAUCCACCUAUGGAUCCCGAGAAGUUCAGCCAUACUUGGGUGCCACAUAUUCUCAAUCCACCAGAAAGCGGCACCUCCCCCCAUUUGUCGAGGCUAGUCUACUUCUGACCUAUGGUAUAUCUGCCAUUCUCUUGGCACAAGCUUUGGAGGUUGGAGUGCAUCUUCCAUCCCCAGCCAGGCCUUGAGCUCCUGGUAGAUAGGAAGGAUGCGUGUCCAAGCUUAUGUUCAGCUCAGCCACUUGGUGCCCAGUGGAGUAGUCCCAUAGUGUCACUAAAAGCUUUGUGACUUUGUGACUUGAUCCUCACCUUCAGCCCAGUCCUUCAAGUUCACGACUCUCUGGUUUCUGACUGACCAUAGCUCCUUCUACUAGCCAUUCAACUACAGUAAGCUGGGGCUGAAGCCUGGGGCUGAGGACAGGUCAGGAAGCUGGGAAGUAAAUUAUGUUCCAGAGGAAGUGAUGCAAAUUGAGAAGGUCAAUGACCCUGGGGUCUUUGGACAGCAGUCAGUGAACUGGAUCUCUUGGCACUCAUUUUGUAUGCAUAAACUGAAUCACAAUAUCUACCCAUUAAAGGGAAGUUUUGGAAAGAAGAUUGAACUAGAUGAUGCUUGGGCCUUUCCCUCUGGGACUGGCACAGCUUAGUCAUAGCUAAGGGAAAGUCACAUCAUUAUUGGUAGUGGUUCUAGCUCAAUUGGAGCAGCAUAGAAGUUUCUGGAUUGAAAAAUCCAAUCUGAGGUCUGAUAAGAUGCUGUGUGGCAAAUGGGUCUACAGCCAUGGGACCUGGCCAGAGCCUUAGGGGCAGAGAAACAGCUACCCAGAAACAACUCAGCCUCAGGCUCUCUGCCUCAGACCUGCAUGCGACAUCCAAGAAUCUGCUUUGAUUUUCUCUAUUUUUCCUUCUCUUCUUUCCUUAGGCUUUUUCAGGGUUGGGGAUUGAACCUAGGGCAUCUCAAACAGACUCUAUCACGGAGUUACAUCUUCAGUUCUUACUGUUUAUGUUUGAAACAGAGUUAGUAACUCUCUGGAGCUGCUCUUAAGCUCACUAAAACAGGCUUUAAAUUUUUAGUCCUCCUGCCUCAGUCUCCCCAGUACCUAGGAUGACAGGCUAAGAGUCUGAGUUUUCAACAAACGCAAUCCUCCCACAGAGAAAGAUCCGGCUUAGCGGAUUUGGAAUUCCCUUUUUAUUCACACAAGGUGCUUCUCUCCUUCUCUCCCAAGCUAACAGUCAUUUGCCUGCAGACAUUGUGGGAGCAGAAAGUCCACAGAAACAGCCAUUGGGAAAGGCUGACUUCCCCUCAUUAGCCCUGUGCUCAGUAGGAUGUAGCAUCGCUGAACUUCUCCUUUACGCCCAGCAGAUGGCAACAGCGUGCUGCUGUUGCUGCUGCUAAUGUUCGAAUGGCGCCGAAUUAUUUGCAAGGUAAAAAUCCUCCAACUGCUCCUAUAUGGAGUUCUGUCAGGCAGGCCUGGGUGGCAUUCCAGGUAUCCAGUGCAGGCACCUUCCUUCAGCUGGAUGUAGACGUUUCGUCCCAGUACCCGGCUCCUCCUUCAUCCAUGCACUUGCAGCGAGGUGGGUACCUCCCACCCAUUAGCGGCUAGAUUCUGGAGCAAAUCAAAACGGAAUACUGAACGCUUUAAAUAGCAAUAUGUGACAAAGAUCAUCAGACAAGGUCAUCUUUACAUGCCAGUUGGGAGGAGAGCCCAGCGGGGGAACCCAGAGGAUCUGCAGGACCAUGUGGAUAGAUCAGAUCACAACGCACAUGUGGUAGUGUAGAAAGAAGGGGACUCUUUCUUAUGAACCUUUUGCCCCGAUCAUUGCCUAGGUUAUGGGAGGAGGCAGGACAGCAUGUCUGCAGGAUCCUAGUCUCUGAAACCAGACUACUCAAAUCCCACAUUAAUUGUGUGCCUUUGGAUAAGAGUCUAAACAUCUGGAGCCACAGUUUCCUUAUCUGUAAGGCGGAGGCCAUGGGAGCAUAAAUUGCCGACUACUUUGGAUUGCUGAAAUGAUUUUAGAUUCAUUUAAUGUACUUGGCAUACAAUAGGUGCUAAACAGAUGUUCGAUUGCUGGCAUUUUUCUUUUCAGCUUUUCCUUCAGUAAAACAAGUAAAUUGCCUUGCCCUUUCCAAGGGGGUAUGUGAAGUUCCAGGAGACAAGCUUAGAGAAAGAAGGCCCCUAGAAUGGACGCCCUCACUCAUCUCUCUCCAGGUCUUCCUUCUGUAAGAACUGACAGCAGCUCCAUUUCCGGUGUGUCUACAGCCACACCAUCACGCUCUUCAAUUGGUGGGCUGGUGUCCAGCAUGUUCUGGCCUGGAAGGAUCAGUUUGUGACCAGCACUGCUCACUCUUUCUGCCAUCUCUUCACCAAGUAGCCCUUUCCGAUGGGCUUCAAAGCAACCAUUGCUUCCUCCUGUAUCUCGGCCUCAUCAUCCUUUUCUUCGGCCUCCACCAGCAGACAUCCCCAAGAGACACUGGAAGAUGCCGGCUUAAAGAACAGGACCAGGGACCGAUACAAACAGGGCUGUCCCCAUGGAGACCCUGGCAGAGGACAGUGUAGCUCUCAGCAGAUUCCCAGAACUGCAGUUCAUUGACUUCAGGAGGGAUGCAAUGGAUUACGGCUUCAUACCCACUUCUCACAUGGAUUUGUAACCAUUUGCUAACCUCCUGCCUCUGUGAGAUAGAGUCCUCUAAUGAGACUGCCUUCUCUUCAGUGGUCACUGUAUUUGACAAAUGUGUCUCUGGGGCUCAGAUUCUGCAGUUAGUGGUCACGAUCACCGGUAAAAGAAACAAGCCUCGGUGUGGAGGAAGUCAGGGAUGGCUGGCUAUCUGAUCUGCAGUGGGAAAUUACUUGGUUUCGGAUGUAGUGAUGAACAGUUACCCCUCCCUUUGACCCCUACAUAGCUCUUGGCUCACCACCCUCUGUACGCUUAUCACCGCAGUUAUGUGGUUCCCUGGCGAGUUACGGGGCUGAGAGAAAUGGCCACGUGCACAGACCAGAAUUGUUUUCUGUCAGCGUGGACUUCUCUGCUUUGUUCACUGGUCUCUUCUGUAAAUAUCCACAAAUAAACUUAUCUAAAAUCAA